GUUAAGCAUAAAAUUAUAGUAGUGCUUUAAAUUAGUUUCAUGUGAUAGGAAUAUGUUGAAUAUAAAUGUUAAAAACAUCACUCUCUAACGACGUAAGUUUCUGAAGAACAAUAAUUAUUUCAUAUUAUUUAAUAUAAUAUUAGAAUGAAAAAUUUUGAGGUCAAGUUAAGUUAUAGUAGGCCCUGACAUAAUUGAUUUCUUUCAUUAUUUAAGUUUAUAUUUUUGGUCUAUCAAAAUGUCUAGAAUCCGAACAUAAAAAAAAGUAUUGAAUAUAAAGAGUUGAGUUUCUUUGCUUUUAAAAAUACAAUAGUAUUUGUGCUCGUGAUUUUUUAAUCAUCAAAUCUUUUUAAUCUAUGCAGCACUAUUAAAGAUAUGUCCCCUUAAGUUAAAUCUAUUUUAUUGAGACUGUACGGAUCUUGAGAAUCCAAUGGUUCAAAAAUUACAACCACAUUCAACUCUGAAUAUGAAUAUAUCAAAAUAUCUGGAGCCCAUAGUAAUAAAACGUUCUACGAGGAAGAUAAAAUUUUUGUUUAUGAUGGUAACAAUAAUAAACAAAAAGGGCACAACUUUCAAAUUUGAACAUUUGAAUCCCCUGCCUUUUGAGCUUCCGCAGCUAACGGUCACCAAAAGCCCCUUCCUCUCUCCCUCUUCCCCACUCCUCCUCUCCCCCUUCCCUGUUCACUGUUGAACAAUGUCCCCCUCUCUAUCCUACGAAGAUCUCCGCAACAAGAAGCUCCAGGAGAACAAGAGGAAGCUCGAGGAGCUCAAACUGAGCCACCUCUCCGUCGCCCUCCGCGACGCCUCCUCCCCCAAACCCUCCCCGGUUCCGACCCAUCUCCUCUUUUCCCCCACAUUUUCGACUGUUCAUUCUCUGCUUCAUUAUAUAUCUCUCAUACUCUUAUUACUAUUUGUUUGGUGCGUUUAUGAUGGCGCAGUCGAAGUCGGUGAAGCGGAAGGCCCUGCAGGAGCAGCGGUUGGUCGCGGUGAGGCGGUCGGUGCGCGUCGCCAACUUGCCGGAGCCGCCAACGUAUCGGGAGGUACGCCGAUUGCUAGUUACUUUCUAUUCAAGUCAAUUGUUUUUUGGUUGGAUGUAUGUUUAAGUGAUAGAUUAAGAACUCAAAAAUUGAUCCUUUGUUUUCGCCUUGGUUUGCAAAUUUUAUCGUGUUUGCGAAAAAGGGAAAACCUUUAUGGUGAAUCCCUUCAAAUUUGAGUUAUUUGAGCUUUGUAUUCUAUCUCAAAACACCAUUUUUGCUUUUUUAGGGGGGGGUGUUCCUUCUUAACUAGGAAAAAAAAAGAGCAUUUUUGCAUUUUUGUGCAUGUUUUUGUUCUCACAAAUAUAUCUUAAUCUUAGGCAACACAUGAAUUACUUGUUCUUGUACCUAGAUUUUUAUUACCCUUUCUAUAGAAGUUUACAUAUAUAGGAUUUAUUUUGUGUUAAUAUGUAGAAUUAUGCAUGCAAACAUACGAGUAUUUGAUUGUGUUUGUAGCUGUUUAUUUAGACCAGCAGUUGCAGUUGCAUUUGCAUUUGAUUUCGGUUCCUGAGAUAGCUAUCAUUUGGUUAAUUGGCUCUUCAUGUUAGCAUUGACCCUCGACAUUCUUUUGAAACUUUAUGUGCUUAUAUAGCUUGGAUGGGACGCAGCGGAAAGGUCUAGAAGGAGGUGUGCCACUUUUUAUAAACUGUAAUUUACUUCGUUAAACGGCAUCAUAACAUCAGGAUGUAAAACUUUAUCUUGUGACAUUAUUCAGUUAUAGGCCUUGUAAGAGGAGAGAUUUGUCGAAUCGGGUGUAUGCUUCGGAUGAAGAAAGGAUGUAUGCUGAAACAAGAGCCGAAGAAGUUGAAGCAGAACUUGGUUCUGAGUUUCCUACUUUUGUUAAGCCCAUGCUGCAAUCCCAUGUCACCGGAGGAUUUUGGCUGGUAAUUUCAAUUAUAAUAAGAUGGUUUUUUGUUGAUCUAGUGUUCUAUUUUUAGUUAGAUGUAUGAACUAUUAAUCAUUAAGGCUAUUUGUGAGUACACUAUUUAUUAUGAUUUUGCAACUUUUGGCCCGAAGUUGUAGAAAUGAACACAAGAAUCCAAUAUUGCAAGAUUAUAAAGUGGAUUUUUGGUGUAAAAUAGCAUGUAUCGAACUCUUGAAGGCUUUUUCAACAGGGCCUUUCCAAACAAUUUUGCAACAAAUACCUACCAAAGCGAGAUUCCACCAUCACUUUAGUUGAUGAAGAGGACGAGGAAUUCGACACUGUGUACCUUGCCAAUAAGAGAGGCUUGAGUGGUGGAUGGAGAGGCUUCUCUCUACAUCAUGAGUUGGUCGAUGGAGAUGCUUUGGUUUUCCAGUUGAUUGAACCCGCAAGGUUUAAGGUAAUGGUUCAAUCAUAAGAGAAAAAAUGAUCGAUUGUGUUAUACGUUGCGUUUGGUCCAUUCUGGUGCUGCUACUCAUCUACCUUUUAUACACUCACUCAACAAUUUGACAUUAAUGUAUUAAGAUUGUGGCGUAUUGUACAGUAUCCUGCAGUUUCCCAACCUAAGCUACACAUGUUGCUUGUAUUUUUUAUUUUUAUUUUUUAAAUCUGAUUCUUCUUUUGUAUAUUACUCUCAGGUACAUAUAAUUAGAGCGAGUGGUUAUCAUGAUCAGUAAUGCUGCUGUAGCCAUACAAUUACUAAUGCAGCAGGUAAAUUAUGCUACUAUUUGUAAUUUUGAAUUUUCUUAUUAUUCGAUACUUUGGAGAAACAUUGCCAAAGUCUUAAGCUUACUCGGAAGUUAAUGUUUCCUUUGUUUGAAAAGAAAAACAGUGCUCUAUCUUGUUCUUAGUAUGCAUUCCUUCUCUGUUGGACUCUCUCCAUGACAAAUAUUGUUUUUCAUUCGACAUUUUCUGCAUUUGUUAGUGUAUAUUCGGCAUGUCAUAAGCAGUUAGAAUAGAGCUUCAAUUGCAGAUCUGAAACAAGCAUCUGACUUAACUUAUUCUAAUCACAGCGGAGAAGUUAUUAUUUUGGAUAUGACACUCUGAAUAGAUUCUUUCAGGCUUUCACUGUCAAAAUUAGGAGGUGUUUUGCUCAAGUUUAGUUACCCUUUUGUGCGAGCCGAAAAGGUGCAGAAAGUGUAGCAGUGUUUCACUAUAAUGUUUGCUGAAAUUGUCUCCUUUUGGUCCAUCUUUUGUUGUCUAUCUUUCAUGUAACACUACAAUGUCUCGAAGUUCAAGAGUUGAAAAUAUCAGGUUGAAGUACAGUUUUAUUUUGGUGCUACAAAUGCGAGUUAGUGCACAGUUAGUAAUAUGUUAUUUUGUAUGUACUAUAAACCUCAUGUACUGAUUAGCAUAAUUUGAUUUUGCAGGUAAUCUAACUUUUGAUUAACUUCAUGGACCGUAUUCUGAAGUCUGAAGUCGAUUAGUUCCAUUUUCUGUAAAUAGAGUGAGAAAAGCGAUUUACAGAACUGUUCGAGUUUAAAUGUUCUAUUCUAUUUAUCUGGUUUUUGGUUGAAACAAAUUCAAUUAGUCGCGUCCUAUGAACAGCAGUUAAAAUAUACUUGAAGAUGACAGUUUGAAUGACUAAAUUUCUCUGUUAAUCAGUCAAUUUAAACUUCUUCUCCCUUCAUCACAAUAAUACAGCAGCAAAAAAUUAAAACUUCUAUUUGGAGUUUGUCCUUCUGAUUCAAUGAGAAAAAGGACAUCACGGAUAUGCGUCGAAUUUUCCUUGUUAGCAGUAUCUUAUGCAGAUGAAAAAGUUAUAUGAAUCGUGAAAAAAGUCUAAUCAAUUAUUCAUCACAUGCAAUGUAUAAAUUUUAAAACAAUGAUGAUGGUUAAUCGAGUAAACCAGUUAACCUUUCGAGUUUAUAACUUUGAUUUCAACAUAAAAACAUUUUUUUUUUCGAAUAUUCAUGAGAUCGGAUCAGAUCAUGUUAUCCUUUGCGUGCUAAACACCAAAUUGUUUCGAUACGUGAGAGGAAGUAAAGAAAGAUCUUUAUUGGGUGCAAACCUAAUUAAAAAAUCACAUAGCUGUAAAAAAAAAUCAUAGCAUUUAUUUUAAAAAAUCCGUUUGAUUAAUUUAUAAUUUAUAAUUCCAGAGUCUUCUAUUUAAACUAAUAUUUUAAAUUUAUUUGCGAUUAAUUGGACAGCUCAAGCUUUUGUUUCUGCCGCGCACGUUCAAAGCUCCCUCCUUUUUCUCCAGUCACUAUAAACGUUAAAAAACGAAAAAAGCCCAAUUCGCCGAAGCUCUCUCUCUCUCUCUCUCCGCCCUUUUCCGCAAACCCUAAAUCCAUUUAAAAGUGGUUGUUGUCGAUCUGAUUCGCCCAAACUGGUGUGCUCGGAGGUAGAGUAUGCGCGAUUGCGGAGGAGAUUUUGCGAAUUCUCGCACAGUUUUGAGGCUUUGGAGAAGUGUUUAGGGUUAGGGUUUCGAUGGGGGAGGGGAUGAUCCCGUUGGCGGUGCUGCUGAAGCGGGAGCUCUCGAACGAGCGGGUGGAGAAGCCGGAUUUGCUGUACGGACAAGCGAACCAGAGCAAGAAGGGAGAGGAUUUCACCUUCUUGAAGGCCGAGUGCCAGCGUGUAGCUGGGAACAGCUCCACCACCUUCUCCGUGUUUGUGGUAAGAGUGCUUUGUUCGUUGUUGUUGUUGUUGUUGUUGUUGUGAUUUGGCUCUCUAGGUUUUGGGGUAGUUUGGUUUCUAGGGUUUUGAGUUGUUUGAGGAUGGUAAGGAUUAGGGUAUGUUGACUUGAGUGUUGCGAUGAGUGCGAAUUGUUUGCUGGAAACUCCUAGGAGUGGUGGUGUCGGAGAAAAUAUGAGGUUUAUGCUUGUGUGUUGUGAUAUGUGCGGAGUUUAGGAGCUAUUGCUGUGAUUGUUUGUAGAUAAUUAGAGAAAAUUUGAAAGUGGUCGAUGUUUUGAAUAUUAGUACAAGGGUCAAAAGAAAGAUUCUGUCUUUUGGAUGUUAUUGUGACUAGGAAAGAAGCGAUGAUUGAUUCAAUUUUUGCCCUUAAUAACCUUUCAAACUUGUACUACAUGCUGCAUUUUAAUUCAAUGGUUUUAACCCAGAUAAGUAACCCCCUUUUCUGAUUAUUUUGUGAAUAAAUCGUCGCAUAUACUGUGCAGCUCUUUGAUGGACAUAAUGGCUCUGCAGCUGCAAUAUACUCCAAGGAGAAUCUCUUAAGCAAUGUUUUGUGUGCUAUUCCUCCAAAUCUCAGCAGGGAGGAAUGGAUAGCAGCAUUGCCAAGAGCGCUAGUAGCAGGCUUUGUCAAAACGGAUAAAGAUUUUCAGGAGAAAGGUGCGAGCCAGUUAGAAUUCUUUUGGUUAUUGAACUUUGAAGACUGAUUUGUUGUGCAAGAUGCUUGUUCUAGUUUCUCAGAUUCCAAGUAGUUUACUUUUCCUAUUAUAUCUAUUAACAAAAUUGGCCAUUAGUUAUCCCUCAGAAUACAUUUGACUACUUUGGCAUCUUUCUAGCUAAUACAUGUGGUGGGUUGUUCAAUGCAAAUAUGGUUGGUAACUUGCAAUUUUAGAAGCAAGCAUCCAGCCAUGUAAAGAUGAACUUCCUGCAAAGACAGGAAUACAGAUAUUGCUGUAUUUUCUCCUUUCAUAUUUGAAUGACAUAAAAGAUACUAAUUAAAUUGCAAUAUCGGGAUAGUACAAGGUCUAUCCGUACAUUUCACAAAGAAAAGACAAAUUAAAUCCUUUAAGAAUGCUAAUAUCGUUGUUUCAUUGUUUUGCUGCAACCUAACUUGGUUACACCGAUGCCUUUUCAGCAUGUAAAUCAGGAACAACUGCGACGAUUGUCAUUAUUGAUGGAUGGGUUGUUACUGUAGCAUCUGUUGGUGAUUCACGCUGUAUACUUGAAUCUGCAGAAGGUUCAGUUUAUUUUUUGUCGACAGAUCACCGGUUGGAAGUUAAUGAGGAGGAGUACGUAUUGGUUUCUUGAUUUGAGCCUGGUGCUAUAGACCUUUUUGAUUCAAACAUUUAGGGUCUAAAUUUAUUAUUUGGAUCUAUGAUCAAUUUUGCCGCAGGGUAGAACGUAUAACAGCCAGUGGCGGAGAAGUUGGGAGGAUAAAUAUUGCUGGUGGUGCUGAGGUACUUGCUUGCUUAUCCUUCUUAGAUAUUUCGUGAUAUCUCCUUUUGGAACUUUUACUUGUGUGCAAGUUACUUUUCACACUACGAUGUUUACUCUUGCUUUAGAAGCAUGCACCAUUCUAUCACAAAGUUUCUUCUCUUAUAUGUUGUUCUAGAACUGCUGGUUUUGCUAAUAUUGUUCUAUAAUUCACUUUUAUUCAGUAAAAUUAUUAGGCCAAUGAACAAUACUAUCUCUGGCACGUGAACUUGUCACUAGAAUCACUACAUCAACUAAAUGAAAGCUCUUCCUCCUGAUGCUAAUGAUUCAGUUCCUAGGAUGGUUUUAUAUAUAUUACUUGCCAAAUGAUUGUUGAUGUGGUUGAUUUAUCAUCCUCGGAUUAAUUUUUUGUUAGUAUACGCUGGUUCUGUUCAAAACACGUAAAUCAUAAGCUAGCAUGCUGCUGCUCUACCUUUUCCAUCGUAUGUUCUAUGUACUUAUCACGAUGAAAGUGGCAAAGUGCUAGGUGCCGACUGUGUAUCCGAGCAAUACUAGAAUUGGUUCCGUAUGCUAGAAGAAAAGUGAAGCUUUUGAUUUUUUUGUAACAUUUUUAUUUCGCUAAAUGACCAUUUGCCUUUCAGGUUGGUCCUCUUAGGUGCUGGCCAGGUGGCCUGUGUCUAUCAAGAUCAAUUGGAGAUGUGGAUGUUGGGGAAUUUAUUGUUCCAAUUCCUCACGUGAAACAAGUCAAGGUUUGUGAGAUGUUUAUUAUUACAAGAAAAAAAUUCGAUUUUUAUUUUUUUUAAACUGUCGUAGAUGGAUUCGCAGUAAUAAAGAAGUUCGGGGACUAAAUCGUUCAAGUAAAAAGUGGAAGGACCAAACAGUACAAAGAGUAGAGGGAUUUUCCUACAUAUGUAUAUAUGGCUAAUAGAGUAUUGUUUACCUAGUGCCUAAUAUUAUUAGAUGCUAUAACUAUGCUGUUGCAUGUCAUACAACUCAAUAGAUUUGCCAUUCCUAGAAUUUACAAUCUAUACUCUUCUAUAUGAAUUCACAGUUGUCAAAUGCUGGAGGACGCCUCGUCAUCUCAAGUGAUGGUGUGUGGGAUGCUUUGACCUGUGAGAAGGCUCUCAGUUGUUGUUGGGGUUUACCAGCCGAAGCCGCAGCUUCUCGAAUUGUCAGGGUACUUACAAUUUAAACUCUAAUAGAGUUCUUUCUAAUAGUUGCCUCACAAUUCCAAUAAUUUUCUAACUAAUAGUUAUCUGCAGGAAGCUUUAAAAGCAAAAGGACUUCACGACGAUAUUACCUGUAUUGUGGUUGAUAUUUUACCACCAGAAAAGCUGAGCCCUCCACUGAAAAAGCCAGGAAAAGGGAGUCUCAAAUCUUUGUUCCGCAGAAAAUCAUGUGAGUCAUUUUCUGAGCCAUUGGAUAGAGGAUGUUCAGAACCAGAUGUGGUUGAGGAAAUAUUUGAGGAUGGGUCUGCAGUGCUUGCUGAACGGUUUGUCAUGUUCAUUCCAAAAUAAUAUUGACAUAUUUGCGUAUUAUUCCACUGCGUAUUUAUCUAUCUAUGCAUAUGCCCCUGUAAAAUUGGAGUUUCAUAUUUGCGUUCGAAAAGUCGGUUUCUUGCAUAUAGAAAAAUACCCCUCUUUAAAAACUUUUUCUAAUAAAAAACCAACUCCACCUCAUGAAUUGGAUGACUACUCCCUAAUACUAGCAUGUUUUUAUAAGAAAUCUGCACUUCAUGGGGUAUGUAUGAAGCUCAAGCCUUUAGAAGGGUAUUGUUUCUUAAGUGAUUUCGCAGGCAUAUAUAUGAAGAAGCUAGUAAUAGUAUUCUACAUUCCAUUAGUCUAAUUUUUCACUUAAUGCAUUGGAUUAUGGACUUCAGAACAUACUUUGGAUAGCACUAGAUGCAUUCUAUUGUAAAGUAGUGACACAAAAUAUUUUUCUUGAGCUGUAUAAUUAAAAUGAUGCUGUGUACUUGCAGGUUGAACACUGAAUAUCCGAUUAGCAAUAUGUUCAAGCUCUUCAUGUGCGCGGUUUGCCAGCUGGAGAUGAGACCGGGAGAGGGCAUCUCUUUGCGUGCUAGCUCACCGAAACCCUCGGGAGUCAGUCCCUGGGAUGGCCCUUUCCUUUGUUUAACUUGCCAAGCAAAAAAGGAAGCCAUGGAAGGAAAACCACCUUCCGGAAGUAAUAACUCUUACCUUUUUUAUACUACACGGAAAAAUAUAGGUUCAUUAAAUUCUUUAAGACCAUCCCUGAUUUCAACUACUUCUGUGGAUUUCCAAUUUAACAAUUUAGUCCCCGAGGUUGUCCUACAGAACAAUUUACUCCUAUUAAUCUACUUUAGAGUUAGCCGAUGGUUGCCACGUAGAACAGGCCUCAGGGACUAAAUUUAUCACAACUAAAGCCAUCAGGACGUAAUCCAAAGCAGGGUCAAAAUUCAGGACUAAAAUUUUAAUUAAUUCUCGCAACUUUUGUGCUACAAAGUUUAACUUAUCUCCAAACAUAUCCAGGUUGCGCAUCUAGAGUCUCAGCUACGAUCAAGUAGUAUCAGCGGUGUUGAAAUUAAUUAGACUCUGCUUCUUCGACAUCAUCACCCUGAUCUUACCCGACCAACCUACCGACAAAAGAUAUUCAACCUAUUAUUUUAUUCUUCAAUGACUUGGUGUGGUCGAUCUUGCACAGAAGCUGAUACAAUCGACUAAUUUUGUAAAUGCUGCAUUCAGUCUGAGAAGCAAUAUUCGGCCUUUUACCAGGGAAUUCUUUUCCGAAUAAGUUCCCUCUUUGUAAAGCAGGGUGCGAGAUAACCUGAUUCUUUGUAGGUGCCUUAUCAUGUUUGUAUAUAUCAUCAGUCGACCGUUCCCUAUGCGCUUUGUCCGUAUUGUGAGUGUAUUUGUUUGUUUGUUUGUUUUUUCUAUUCAUUUAAUUUUUUUCACAACCAACACAAAGUGAGAGUAAAGUGGUGGUUAUAAGAGACUCAAAUUAUUCAAUUGUUGAAGGCACUAUACAUGUGUAUUUCAGUUCUGUUGCUGCUGCCAGUUGAAGCUGAUUUGUGCCAUUCCUAGCAAGAUUUCGUUGUUGUAAAAGUGGAAAAAUAUCAACUGCUUAAUUUAAGAAUAUAAAUACAACCGCAGCAAUAUCCAAAGCAUUUCCGUGAAGUUGCUUCACUUCAGAGGUUGUUUCUUCUUGGACUGAUUUAUUAGACUACCUUGCAAAUUUGUGUUAAAGACUCAAAUAAAUGCACCUUAUUCAUCAGAAAUCAAGUGUACAGCAGUGUCCGUGUGUAAUGUGCACGCACCAUAAUACGGUGUUUAAUCCUUCCAUCGAUCUUUAUGAGAACUUAAUAAUAACCUGCGUCAAGAGUGACUACCAAGUCAGGAAAAAAUAUGCGAAAGUAGCUACUGUUUCAGGGGGAAAAAAAAAGUCCCAAGGGUUUUUUAUAUCUAAAAACUUCACAAAAUUAGGGCAUAAUUCAAGAGAAAGAUACAGUGAAGUUGUAAUAGAAGAUGAACCCACCUGAAUCCACCUCUUCUCUGUUUUCAGUAACAGUCACCAUGGUGUAUGUUACAUCUUACAAAACUCUGCAAAUGAGAACCAUAUACAUACUGGCAUGGAGAGAUGGACCUUAGAAGGGACAUUAGCUCAUUGUCAAAUAGUGAUUCUAAUAACCACAAGAAGCUACAUUAACGGUUGCGUGCGAUAAUGAGUAUCGGGAGAGGGCGAUAAAAGCACCAACAGUAGUUCACUUGAGAACCUUUCAUAACUUCUGCGCUCCGACUAUUCUGAAGAUCUAUCAAAAUUAACUACAAAAAAUCAUCAAUUAUGUAUGGCUCCCACAGUUUGAUCAUGACAGAUAUACGAAUCUUUAUUGCAGCGAGCUACAUUAUGCAGUCAGAAUGUACACAAAAAACUACACCGAAAAUCUCGAUACUUGAAAUGAUACGAAACAUACGGUUCUCAAACGAUACAGAAAUUAGGAUCUCAAUAGUUCCGAAUAGCUACAAGCAUACUCUUCAACAUGUUCUCACGAAAAGCCUAUAACAAAUGUAUUGCAAAACUCACAGCAAAUCAACUUAAUAAAUAAAUAAAUUUAACUUUAUUAUAGAUGUGAAGUAUACAAUUGGCUGAAAACUUGUACAUGCAUACUCAAAGAAGAAAAGAUAUCCCAUUACUUGUCCGUCUGAGCUUUUCUCCUUGUCAUGACAGACAUGACGACCCGAGGAAAAAACGAUCUCUUCCUUCUCAACUUCGCAUCCGAAACAUUCUGCUCUGGGCUACUUUGUGGCGUAUACGACUUUGGAUCCACCGUUGCUUCGGCACUAAUUUCAUGUUCUCUCUCAUCAAAGCUCUUAAUUUUAGCGCUAUAACUUCGUUUAGGAAAAGUUGCACUUCUUGCAGUAUCUCCGAUUUUACGACGCUGUUCGCUUUCCUCUCUCCAGUUCCGCAAUUCCUGCUCGGCAGCCAAUUUUUCCUUCUGGGCCUUCUCUGCCUUCUCUGAUGCAACUCUCAAAGCUUCUCUCUUUUGCUCUAUUUCUUUGUAUACUUGAUUUAGUAUCUCUAAGCUCUUGAAUUCGGACUCCUUAGCUGACUCAACCUGCGCCGUCGCAGCCAUUGCUUUCUCACGGGCCGCCACUUCGGCUUCAUGAGCUCUCUUGCUAAGAGUGAAGUACUCGUCAAUUGAAAGGGUCUCUCCUUUGGGAGAGUCCUCUCCUAAACUUGUAGCCUCCUCACUAUCUUGCAAUGCUUUGAUCGCAGCGAGCGCCAACUUCUCUGAAGUCCUCGCAGCCUCUAUUUCCUUUAAAGCCGCAUGCAUUCUUAUCUCGGUGGUGAUCACGCUGGCUUUGGCUUGUUCGGCUUCUUCGUCGGCUUUUCUAAGCUCUUCUUGCGCUAGCUUUGCGGCCGACUUGGCUCGAUUGGCUUCUUGAGCAGCUUCUGGCAACAGCUUAGGUAGCUCCAUCAUGUUUUCUCUGGUUUCCUUUUCUUUCGCCUCAACGGUUUCUAUCUCUUCUCUUGUUUUAUUGAGCUCGGCUUCGAGAGACGAAACUGCUAUAGAAGCCAUUCCUUCCCUCUGCUUCACGGUUGCGAGGACUGCUUUCUCUUUAUCCAGCUCCGAUCUAAGAGUUGAAACUGCAAGUUUUAAACCGCUGACCUCUUCUUUCGCUUUCUCGAUACUCCCUUCAACUUCCUCAAUCUCUUUUCUUUUCGAAUCCAGUGCUUCUUGAAUGGACUUUCGCAUUUUAUUUGUCUCGCCGGUUAUAUUAUCAUCUUCGCCGUUCAACUUUGCCUCUGUGCAGGCUGCCAGCUCAGCUUUCAGAUUCAGUAACAAAUCAGAUGCUGAAUUUAACUUCGACUUCAGGUCCUCUGCCGACGACCGCUGCUCGUUUAGUCGUUUGAUCUCCUCUUCUGCUUGCUUCAGCUCUUUCUCCCAAGCAAUACAAUCUUGUUCUCUCGCCAAAGAUGCGCCGAUCCUACGGUCCUCUGCGUCGAGAUGCGCGGCAUGCGCUGACUCCAACUUUUCCUUAGCAGAAAUAAGCUCUACGGUGAGUUCCUCCACUUUCUUUUCAAUCCCCUUCGAUUCGCUAAUAGACUCAUCUGCUUUUCUUAUCAUAGCAUCUUUUUCACAAAGUAAUGCACCAUACUGUUCCUGUAGUGCUUGCAGCUCUUCUUUCACAGACUUUAGUUCCGCAAAAGCGCUAUCGCGGCGUGCUCGUCCAACGUCCAGCUGCGCCUUGGCCACCACGCUGGCUUCGCCGGCGAUUCCUUGCUCAAUUUCUUUCAUUCGAAGUUGCGCAAGCUCCGAGUCCUGUUUUGCCUGGGCCUCUUCAGUUUGCACCUUCUCGAGAUCGAGUUUGACUUCUUCUACGAGCCUUCUGGUGCUCUCUAGCUCCUUAAGGACCUGCGCUUUUGCCUCCUCGGUAGCUUGCAGUUGCAUUUUGUGCGCUGGAAUUUCUUUUUGUACCUUCUCAAGUUCAAGUUGGACAUCGCCACUUCGCUGUAAAUAAGAAGUGAGAUGCCAUGGUGCUCUCGUCAGAUGCGUGUCUAAAUGUACAUACCAGCAUACAAUGGUAUGAUUUGAUUACGAAACAAAACCGCACAAGAAAUGGAUUUUAGCCUCCAUAUAUUUGCAAGAAAUGUUCUCAUAUAUUAAACUAUGUAGUAGAAUUUUCAGAAUAAUUUCUUACUCGUGUUCGACAACUGUUAUCUUCAUCUCUAAGAAAGAGUAACUAAGUUCUCAAAGACAAAUUUUAAGACAUAGCAGUGCUAAAAGCGAAAGUGGCUCUUCAUGGAAUCCUAAGGAUUACUUGUAUCGCAGAAUUCUAACGACAAUCAUUCAUGGAAUCGUAGAAAUUUUUCGUUACCUCAAGAGUCAGCGAUUUGUGCGCUUUCCAAUCAACGAUCCCCCCAAACUUCGAGACAGCUGCCUUAACCGAUUCAAAAGGCGCUGCAGUGUCGAUGACACCCCUGUGUGGAUUCACACUUCUUCCACGGUCUCGAGAAUUACUCGACUCCCAUGCUUCCUUUCUCAAAUUCUCACUCUUCACCUGUGAACCAGGCCUGUAUUCUUUAACUCUCAUUGCAAACGAUGGACGAGCUUCACUGCCACUCUGAACAUCAUUAAGCACCAAAACAGCUUUUCCCUUGUUCGUCGAAUCAAUAGGACCGUCAUUAGUCCGAACAUCUACAGGCGUCUUCAGAUCAUUUGAGCUAUCCGGCUUCGUAAGUUUAUCCAAUGCACGAGGUGUCGAAUCUACAAGCACUUGCGAUGAUAAAGCCACAGAGUCGUCAUCGUCAUCUAUAGGAUCCUUCGAUUCAUUCGAGCUCUCUGACAAAGUAGAUUUCUCAUUUGCUUGUGUUAAGCUAUCACGAAUAUCUGGCUCGAUGUUCGUAUCUUCGUUAUUCGUCGGAGGAAUCGGAGUCUCUGCAGAAGUUGCCUGAGAUUCUGGUAGCUGUUCUUCGUCGCAUUUCGUUUCGUCCAUUUUCUGACACUUUGUUUCCUUUCUGCAUGUAAAUGACAGCAGAAAGGUUAACAAUGUAUCUGCACAAAUCAAAAUUACAACUUCAGAUUUGACAUGAAUGUUAAAAAUCUCUAAUUUCUCGUAAAUUACAGCAACUAAGUGGCCCAAAUAAUUCUCACAUAGGUUGAGAAAAUUCAAAAGAAUACAAAUGCAAAAAGCAUUCAUUUUACAGCAAAUUCAAAAGAGAAUCAACAAGAAUGAUUCUAAAAGCAUUCAAAUUACGCACCUCAUUAAUUACACUACUGAGUAAUAUCUAUCCAUGACAGAGCUCUAAAUUCGUUACAGAAUCUAUUUAAUUCUUAAUUAGUCAAACGCAAAAACCCUUCAUAAAUACCCAUAUAAUCCAUAAUUAUCAUCACAACAACACAAAAUUCACCAAUUAAAACACCAUGUUUAAGCCAAAAACAGGAAGCAAAUAAUUAAUUAAAGAGGCUUACUACAAAAUCAGAAUAAAUUUAUCCAACCACUCGCAUAAUCGAUCCGCGUCUCCACGCUUCUCCCUCUCGUUCUCUCUCCUUCUCCUCCUCUUCAUCAGUUUUUUUUUUUUUUUUGGUUGCCCCCCUAUUUUUUUGCAUUAAUUUUCGCGAUUAUUACGGAAUUUUAUGCCAUCAUUAGAAAAUAAAGAUGUAUAGAUAAAUACGUAAUCGAAAUAUUUUUUUUAUAAUAAAAUUAAUGGAAAUUAGUGGACGAGGUGGAGGCCCACUCCGGGCGAGAUUGCGACUCGCCGCCACUUCAACGCACAACGUCCGCAUGCAAUUUGUACGCGUUGUGUCGGAUCCACCGUUCGUAGGGAUCGCGGUGUGUGAAUGGACGGUGUAUGUGAUGUGCGUAUAGUUGGAAUUAUGCGGAAGGGGGUAAGGAGAGGGGGAGUGUUUAAGGGUCGUUAGCUUGGGAAAUUCCCUUAGCUGUGUACAGGAGAAAAAAUAAUAAUAAUAAUAAAAAUAAGUGGAUUUUAACGAUAUUAACUAAUGGGAGUUUUUAGUUAUUUUAGAUAAUUACAAAUUUGGGGAUUUGUUAAUAAGAUUAUGGGUAAAAUGUGUUGAUAGUCCCUAUACAAUCCCAAUAUUUGAGUCACGUAACUUUUUUUGUACGUUAUAAUUUGAUCUGUAGCUACUGUUUUUAUAAAUAAUAAUUAACUUAUCCAAAAUUAAAAUGACUAUUUUGUACGAAAAUAUAUUAAGAUCUGGGAUAUGCUUCUCGAGUAUUAUAAGUAUGAGUUUUCGAAGUGGGGGUUAGAACAUGAAAAAUCGAAAAGAAACAUGACAGGUUAGAAAUUAUCAGAAGUUUGGGAGAAAUUUUUUUUAAGGAGUAAAUCGCAAUUCUGGAAUAACACGGGGAGUAUUUUAAUAAUUUUUCAGCGCGUGCGAAGAGCGCAUGAACUCAUCAAUCAUGGAUAAGCAUGAAAACAUCUAGCAUGGUGUCAUCACAAUUAUCAUAAAUACGAAAAAAAAAAGAAACAGAUUAUUCCAUAAUAACUUAAACUGCCAUUUCCAUGUAUAAAUCACCAUUUUUAACAACACAAACACCAUUUAUCUAAAAAAAAAAGCAUCACAAACAUUAGACAGAAACUCCGUAAAUACGUUAUAGAAGAAGGAACUACAAGUUAUAUAUUUACAAGAGGCUGACUAGGGAAAUAAACAUGGUUAUCUCAGAAGAGCUCCAUAGUUUAGAGGACUCGCAAAACAAAUUUAUUGCAUCGCAGUUGCCGAUCAUCUCAAGGGUGUAAAGAUCGGGCGACCAUCGAGUUUUCUGAUAUUCGAGGAAGGUUUGCAGAAACCUAGUUACAGAACUUCGUGUUUUUCAUGAUCGUGAUGAAUUCAUUGGCAUCUACUUCUCCAUCACCUGCAUUUCAGGAACUGAAAUCUUAAGAUUUGUUUCCCAUACAGUGUGGCAAGAGAAAAGAAGAUGAAGAGCAACAAAAGUUUCAGCGCAUAGAGGCGACUUCACAUAUGGCUAGGAGGAGAGCUCUUAUUAAUGGUCAACAGAAAUGCUCAGAAUAUAGUUUCUGAGAAAACAUUAUGAUGACAAGAAGUUCAAAAUAAUGGCAAGAAAAAUUGCAUUCAAAUGGCCAACCGCAGAGAAUAAGAGGAGUACCCACCGUUGCGAUCUGCUGCUUCUAUCAUCUCUCUAAUCUCCUGAAGAGUAAAGCUUUCACCCAAAUCUCUAGCAAUACGCUGGAUAUCAACAUCGGAUAUCUUCCCCUGCAAUAUUUUUUAGUAAACAUGAAAAGUAAGAUUUACAAUGCAUUUUUUUGUUUUCUUCGAGAGAUAGGCAGCAUGCUACCCACUUUGUUUUAUUUCUUUUUAGAAAUAAACUUAGCUAGAAAUGUGAAUCAACUAGAAUUCGAACUUGCGACCUCGGGUACCAACCACCAAACCCUUUGCCACUUGCGCUAGGGACGGUCGGUCGAUUUACAAUGCAUUUACUUAAAAAAAAACAUAUGUUUAUGGCUCAGAGCUACUUGCCCCACAUAAGAACGCAUUUGAAAUAGUUGAAUACGGACGUCUCUAAAACAAAUGAGCGGUGAGAGAUAGAGAGAGGAAGAAGUUAAUAAGAACUUACAUUAUUAUCUUGGUCAAUAAUACGAAAAGCCUUCAUAAGUUCCUCUCUAGUGUCUUUCUCUCCGAUCUUGGUAGUCAUCAUGUACACAAAUUCAUCAAAAUCAAUUGCACCACUGCCAUCUUUGUCAACAUCAGCAAUCAUCUGAUUAAUUUGCUGUAGUAACAAAAGGAUCUUGUAAUUAGCUAUAGUCAUUUCCAAAGUGAACAAGAACAAAGCAGAAAUAAGUAGAUCAAUCUAACUUUCUUUACUAUGCCAGUAUUACUACGCCAGUAUGACAAAAAAAAAAAAUGAAAACUACAAAGGGAUGUCCAGCGGAUAAUAGUAUUUGCCAACACAAAAUAUAACAUAUCAGAUUAAAUUUUAAAGGGAAUGUAAGGUAACACUAGCUUGUAAUAAGCUUAAAGUAUCCAACUUUUCAUGAUAUAACAGGGGCAUCAUCCCAUCUCCCAAAAUAAGUCCAGAGAAAACUAAAGGACAAGCUGGAUCCAGCAAAAAGAAAAAACUCAUGUCAACCCCCUUGAAAUUGGUGCAGAAUUAUUGUUUAUAGCAAAUUUAGGCAGAUGUCGAACUUGCAAUAACUGGUAUGAAGCAAGUACAUACUUUAUUUCAACAAUUCCUGACAUGAGAAGAUUAUGGAUAUUCCUAUUUUCCAUUUUUCGUUUUUUUUAAUAUGAAUCAAAUGAGAGAAUUAUUGUUGAACACAGUCAACAUGACUACACGGUAUCACAGUUUAAUAGUAUGCAAACACAGAGGAGGAAGAUAUCGAAACACUUGGCGAAAUUAAAGAGGACAUAUCUCACCUCUUCUGUCAUUUCAAACCCCAAGGCCCUGUAAACAAAGAUAAAUUAAAAAUAGUUAGUAAAUUGAAUAGCAAUUUACUUCAAAAUUUUUGAAUGACAAGCGGCAUCAAACCCACUGAUUAACAUCAGAAAAGAUACCUCAUUGCGACAUUCAACUCUUUGCCAUCAAUAGUGCCUGCAGGAGAAUUAUGGUGUCAUAAGGGAAAUAAUUGGCUAAUAACAACAGAGAUAAAAAGGAAAAGAAUCAAAAUUCAAUCCGUACCAGAACCAUCUAUGUCAAAAAGAUCAAAUGCUUCCUUUAUUUCCUGCCUCUUUUGUUGUGAUAUACGACUUCGAGGCUUUUCUCUCUUAUGUCCCUUUACAUUAACACUAGCCUACAUGACAAAAAUUGACGCAUUAGAGAUAGAGAACAACAAAAACAAAAAUCCAUGCAUGUUGUAGGACUAAAGCACGAGAAAACAGAGUUAGAAUAUUCAAACUUUUAAAAGUUAAUUUUAUUGAUCACAUCCAAAUUUACAAAAUUUUUUGAGAAAAAGAAAUUUGUAAAUUUGGAUAUGAUAAAAUAAAAAGUAAAAUUUGCAAAUUUACAUAUUAUAAAAGCCUAAAUAAGUGGGAAGAAACUAGCAGAUAAUACUCAUAUUUUGCCCCAAAGGAAAAACAAGAAGCAAAAAAUGAGUCCAUAUUUUUUGGACUCAUUUUUUAAGAAAAGUAGCAUAUGAAUAUCAUUUGAGAAUCAUUUUUUAAGAUUGCUGAAGCUUCGAAGCAGUAAGGCAACUUUGGCUUUGGAAAGAGAAAAGUUUAAAGAGCCAGAAAAGGCAAAGAAACAUUUGAUGCAAUUAACAAAUGAGCAAUUUUAAGGUCAUCCAUUGAACUGAUGAUUUCUUUCUAUUGCAUGAUGUGCACAGAAUCAUAAAUUAUUUUACACCAAGUUUAAAUUGCUCAUAAACAAUCCAACUGUUAGAUUUAGUAAAACAGUAUACCAAGUAAAAAAGGAAAACAUUACUUAACACUCCAGCAAAAAGUACAACCAUACUACUGCUAAAAUAUUUCUCGGACCUUAGUUAAUUACAAUUUUAAUCUAUCAAAUCGCAAAACUAUGAGACGGAUACUAAGGAUUCUAAGGUUUAAUCCCAUCAAAGUGAUCAUAAUCUUCAUCAUCUUCUUCCACUCUCUAUUUAAUUCUACUUUCCCGUUAAAUAAGUAUCAAAUUAAGAAUUUAGGGUAUUAUCAACAAAGGUUCCGUAGCAAAUCCACUAUAUGCAGUAAAUAUAUAAUCUAAAUAAACAGUAUUUAAUUAAUUUGAGAAUUUGUGGAGUUUAAUCUCUCUACAGAGCAAACCCUAAGAAUUUUACCAGAAACUGAAGCUUUUGAACACUAAAUCAUGGUCUACGUCAAAAGAACAAAUGAAUUAAAACGGGAAAAAUCCGAAAAAAAAUUGGAAAGCGGAUUGAGGAGGAAGGAGAUUUGUGAUCGAACGUACCAUGGAUUGGAUUACUGUUGAUGCUCUCCCUCGAUGAAAACAAAGUCGCGUCUCCUCUCGAGAUAAAAAUGGAACGAAAUAAGAGUGUUUUUUUUUUUUUUCUUUUCCUCCUUUUAUUUGUUUUUCUUUCGUGUUUGUGGCCAACUUGGAAAAGCGACAUUUUUUUAUUUUUUAUUUAUUAUUCAUUUCAACUUUUAGCCCGCUAUCGUGCGUAAUUUCGAAAAGAGACGCUACUUAUCUAAAUUCCCGCAAAAGUCCCUUUCUGCUAAAUCUUACACCGUAUUUAUUUGAAAGGUCAAUAAUUUUACUCUAAGUUUAUUAUUUUUUGCUAUUAAAAUUCAAAAAUAUUUGAAUUUUUAGACAAAUAGGCGUAAAAUUUACGUCUUAACUUUCGGUGUAUAAGCCGCAUUUCUCUAAACUAAAACGCACCAAUAAAAAAAAGAGGAUUAAAAUUAAACUAAAUCGAAAGCUUUACUGCUGAUAUUUGUAUGGGUAUAACUCAAUAGCCUCUUUUAAAUAAAAGUGAAAAAAAUAUUAGUUUGGUUUUGCUUCUGUUUGUUUCUUCGAGCAGGAAAAAAAAAAAAAAAAUUGGAAACCAGUUUCUAGAAUUUGCCAAGCUUAUACAGUGGAAAGUUUCAAAUUGGUUCAGUAUAUGAGUCUCGAAUUUGAACGUAAGAAAGGCCGAAAAGUUUUGGGACUAAUGUGCAAUUUUCUCAGGAGCCCAACCGAUAAUGUUAAUGAAGCCCAGUCCAAUAAAGCUCAUCCAGCCCAUUAAAGCCCAUUAUUGUUUGGCGCGCCCAGAAGAACCUUGCUCCAGCGUUUUCCGCGACUUCGCUUUCUCUCUCUCUCUCUCUCUCUCUCUCUCUCUCUCUCUACAGCGUUCGUUCGUUUUGUUCGGAGGCAGCGAAGCUUCUAGCGGCUAGGGUUAGGGUUUCGGAGUUGCGGGAUCUCCCGAUCCUCCGAUCGAGGACGAAGCGAGGCGAAGGGGAGAGCGCAGAGCGAUGUGGCACGAGGCGCGGCGAUCGGAGAGGAAGGUGCACGACCUGAUGGACGCGGCGCGGAAGCGGGCGCAGCGCCGCGCGAUCUACCUCGCGAAGCGCCGCGGCGAUCCGCAGCAGUCGCUCCAGGUCGUCGGAUCGCGGUGCCGCGUCCACCGCGAUGAUGGGCUCUACCAGGCCACGCAGGAUCAGCAGGGCCUGUGCGUAUAAACCUAAUCCAUCUCUCGUGACGAUCCCUCGAUUUGUCUCGGCUUUGAUCCCUUGUCUUGCGGUUUUCAUGGUUUUUUGUGUUGUUGUUUGUUGGAUGAGUUGAAUCUAAUGCUUUGUUAUUUAGUUUAAUACGAUUAAUAUUUAGGUAGGUUUGUUGGAUAAGGUGGCUGUUAUACUUCAAUCACUAAUUCCUUGUGUUUUCUGCUGCUGUUCUGUUUUUUUUUUUUUUUUCAUGUUAAAGGUAGUUAGAUGAUUUGAGAUUCUGCGUUUGGUUGCGUAGUCUAAUAAGAUCAAAUUUUAGAUGGAAAAAUUAAGUUUAUGUUGAGUAAAAUAGCACUUCUAAUUAAAUAACGAAUACCUUAUAUUGAAUUUGUGAUUUAAUUUCUCCUUUGAUUUUUCCCCCCUUUCAUGUCAUUAGUUAGCUUGUUGAUUUUUAUAAUUAUACAGUUGGUUGUGUGAUCUAAUAGUUUUAAUUUUCGAGUGGACAAUCGGUUUAUGUUGGUUAAACUAGCAGUUCAACUUAAUUCAUGGAUUCUGUAUGUUGAAUUAUUGCAUCUUUGGAGUUGUUUGCAGGAUACCGUGGAAUGGAAAGGAAGAUAUUUUGAUUGACAGGUAACACUUUUGAAUUUUGGAGUUUUAUCAUUAAUCUAAAAUAUCCAACAAAUGUACCUUUUUCUGUUUUUCUCGGCAGAUUUGACGGCCGUGCUCUGCUUGAUUUCAUUCGCGAUUCUGGUAGUCGAACUUUCCGUGCUCAACAGAAGACUGGUGAAGAGGAAGAAGUUGAGGAGUUUGUUAAUUUUGAGCGUUAUCGGGAUUUGAUUAAGCAUCGGCGAAGAGGAUGUCGGUACUUUUUGGUUUUGGAUUCUAUGACUGUGUCUAGAGAUUUUCAUUUUCUCUUCCUCUUCCACCCUAUGUGAUGGGGUUCAUUGCAAAAACAAAAAACAAAAAAAAAACUUUCUGCUAAACUAUGGGAAAUACGUUCACAGUAAAAACUAUUGGGAAAUACAUUCACAGUAGAAACUUUGUCUGCUUACAGUUACUGAUGAGGAGGGUUUGCAGCAUGUUCAUCAAGAGUUGGAGGCGAAGUCCGUAAUUUCCUUGAAUUUUGAGAGGUAUUGGUUUAUAUAUGUAUAUAUAUAUGUAUAUAUAUGUGUAUACGUAUAUACAUGUACGUAUUUAUAUAUUAUGUAUAUAAUAAAUGAGAAGUUGCACAAAAAGAAUGUUGUAUUCUAGAUUAUAAACAACUACAGCUGCCCUGCAUGGAACAUCUUUUAGCUCUUUCAGUUGCACAACUACCAUCUGGAAUGUUCUUUACUUUGCUUUGAAAUACUCCCUAUAUUUACUAACUUUGAACUAACUGAUAGAUAUGUGCUUUCAUUUUGAAAUUAGUUGCUUUUUUAGGUAUUCAGGAAGUGAUUGGUUUUCUAUCUCGACUUAAAAAGAUUUACUUCAGCUAAAAGAAUUAUGGUGCUCUUAGAGCAUUUUCAUUUAUUGCAGUUUUGUUUCUUUUCUUUCUCAAUACAGACCACAUUCAUCACAACCUCCGGUGAAUAAAGGUUCAUACUCACAAGUUGGAUUCUCAUACAACGGAGACAGUAAUGAAGACUCUCAGAAUGUAGAUGGUGAUGAUGAGGACGAAGACGAUGAAGAUGAAGAUGAUGACGAUGAUGAGAAAGAUUUCAGUAGUGAUGAUAGUAACGAUGAACGAAUGGAAACAAUUGCAAAAGAGUUUGGUGUCAAGAGAUAUAACUGGCUUGUUUAUAUGGACAAGAAGGCCAAAGAGGAAGAGAAACGGCAGAAGGAAAUCAUCAAAGGGGAUCCUGCUAUUGUAAGUUCUUUUUGUUGUUGGUGUUUCGGUUCUAUAUAUUUUCUACUAUUACAUGCAGUGAUUUACAUUCCAAAAUUCACAGAGAAAAUUGAGUCGCAAGGAAAGGAGGAAAGCUUCUCAGAUGGAAAGGGAAAGAGAGCGGGAAGCAGCACGUUCGGUUGGAAGGGCGCCGCAUCAUGAUCCCUACCGGUAACCUCCAAUUUCAUCGAUUGUAAAUUAUAGCUGUAGCGAUCAAAUCAAUGAUGGUAUUGUAUAUGCUCAUCGUAGCUUAUGAUGCUGAUAAGCGUCCUGUUGUGAACAUCAUCAUGUAGGGAACAAAGGCGAAGUCCUACUUAUGAAGCUUAUCCUAGGAGUAGAAGGUAUGCUGAGUAAUUUUAGAGUUAGUUUUAUUAGUUUAUGAUAGAAAAGAAUGUACUGACGCUCCUCGAGCUUCCACUCUUGGGGCAUAAAGACCCCUAAGCAUCUAGUUUUUGAAAGUUGACCUUUAACUUCAUAUAAUAGUCUGAUUGACCCUUUGGGAUACACUCUGAAUGCUUUCCAUCUGGAAAUCAUCUUUAACAGAUCAAGAUCCAGGUCAAGAUCACGUACGCCUGCACGUUCAAGAAGACACGAUUAUGGCUCGCAUGCCGAUAAUGGUUAUCGAAGCAAGUCAAAGCCUCCCAAGAUUGAAUAUAUCACAGAAUUUGCAGUUUCAAUUGGCAAUGAUGAUCCAAAAAUGGAAGCAAUCUCUCCACCAUCAUCUCCAGUGCAAGCUGAUCCUCUCAACCGGUCGGGGCACUCGACCUUUUAUACUUGCAAAGAUAUAUUGGCCAAUCUUUUCUCUCUGCCGCGGGCUAGGGUUUUUCCUGAAGAGUUUAAAAUAAAGUCGGGUUAUGUGGGACAAUGAGAUGAUUAAACAUUUGAAGUUAUUUACACUAACUCGCUCACAUGUGCAGAAGAUUUUGUAGAAUAUACCUCUACUAUGAUCACAUCCGGUGUUCCUGUGUUACAAAAACUUUGAUUCACCGCUGCUGCUCUCUAUAAUGAUUUUACAUGUCUGCAGGCCAUCAGGUGGUCGAAUCCUUGAAGCACUUCACACUGAUCCUGCAUCUUCUUUGUCCCUUGAGCAGGAAAAGAGUAUUAAAUUAUCAAAACCAUCAGUCAGGUAGAUUGUUAAUUAUCUUUGCUAGAAUCAAGCUAUGUUUUUUUUGGAGGGCAGAAGUAGCUGUUACUUGAAAGCUUUCGCUGGUACUUCAUUUUUUUUUUCCUCCUUUUUCUACAAGAUAUUUCGCUAAUGUAAGUGAGUCGCUAAUUCUUGUCGAGUAUUUUCUUUUAUUCUCAGUUCAUCAUCAGCACUAGCAAAACUGAGACAGACUGCUACUGGAGGGUCUGCUAAAACUCCACAGAGUGAGAAGAAAGAAACGCCUCAGGAGCGCCUUAAACGGAUAAUGAGUAAACAACUGAACAAGCAGAGUAUGUUCCCCUUAUUGGAAGCUAGAUAGGAACAUGAAUUGGUGAAUUUAAGCAAAGUUAUCGGAACCAAACCGAACAAACUAUUCAAUAAUUGAACCAACUGGUGAACCUUAAAUGUGUGCCUCCGCAGUUCUAUUUUCAGUUUGGUUCUGAUAAGUUUGGUCCUAAGAGAUGAGUAUAAUAUUAUGAGCGUUCUGUGCAAGACAUUUUUUCUUAGUAAUGAUUUGUUGAUCUUUGCAGUUAAAAAGGAUACUGCUGCUGAGUUGGCGAAAAAGCGGGAGCAGGAACGGCAAAGGCAGGAGAAGCUUGCUGAAACGAGUAGAUUAAGUCGCUACAGCCGUCGUAGCUAUAGCAGAAGCCCAAGCAGGUCUCCACCAAGGUGCUUUUCCUAGUAGAAUGCUUUUGUUUUUUUCUUUUUCUAUCUUUUUUUGUCAUCAUCCUACCAAUCUUUGCUAGCUUUUGGGGUUCUUUCUUUCACACUUGUUCCAAAUUCUGAUCCGACAGUAUUAAGGGGAAAACAACCAAGUGGUAUAAGAUAGACAUGUUUUACGUAUAUUUUGCAGAAGGCAUCAUCGGCGUAGUAGAAGCCGUAGUAGGAGCAGGACCCCCCCGAGAUAUCGAUCACGAUCCCGUUCACACUCGCAUUCUCGCUCUCGUUCUCCAAGGUAACUCAACUUUUCUGUUCUUGCAUUGUAUUAAGGCAAGUUUCCCCCCGCUGACCGGUAAAAGAGACCAUGCCAUUGCAGGUAUAGAAGCCGAUCUAGAUACUGAGAUAUUGCAAGCAUAUGGACUUUUGUUUUCUUUCUUUUGUUUUGUUUUCUUUUCUUUCUUGUGUUAAGCCCUACAAUUUGAUGCAUUCAGUGCUGUAUCUGAUUUUACUAACUAUUUGUGUAAUGGAAUUAUGGCGUUGUAUUACUUGGUCCAUAAAUUGUUGCACUUGUUGCUCGGCCUCGCGAUUCUAUAAAUGGAUAUUGCUUCUUGGGCGUGGGGAUGGAAAAAUUCUAGAAUGCAACGGGUAUAUUAGUGACGUGGCGUAACAAACCAAUCAAAUUAAUCCUUUUAAGAAUAUAUGUCCCAUCAUAAUUGUAAAAAAGUAUUUUUAUUGUACUUUUAUUUGAAAAGAAGGAAUGUGAUUGGCUUGUUAUUGAUGACGUGGUGCAAGUGUGACAGUGUAGAAUAUCUCGUGGGGAUGCGCUUUUUCGGUUUCCAUGUCCACGGAGCUGGAUGAAGUCUCAACACUUCAAAAUGGGGUUUUUCUUUUUUUUCUUUUUUUUUUUCUAUAGAGGUUAUCUCAACCCUCGACGAUGGAGAUUUUGCUGUUCGUACGAGGAAAGCGAUUGACGCUAAUAAUAUAUGAUAACACGAGACGGUGGAGGUUUAAUUUUGGCAGGUACCCAUAGACAAGGCUCCCAUACCUUACUUAAGAAGUUGACUCUCAUCGAUUGCAUCCAAAAUCCACAGCCUUUUCCGUCCCAUGUUUAUGCGGUCCCCACCUUACGUGCAGUUACAGCGGUAAUAUCACCCACGAGAAAACAUGAGCCACCGCUCGUGCGGCGUAAAUUUGCCCAUUUCGAUCAAGUGUCUCUUUUUUAAGAUAUAUAUCCCAUCAUAAUUAAAAUAUAUUUUUAUUAUAUUUUUAUUUAAAAAAAAAUUAUUUUAUUAUUAAUGACGUGGUGCAAUUGCGACAGUAUAGAAUUCCUCCGCCAGCUGGGGCUCACACACUCUCUCCCUCCACUCUCCUUAUAAAAACGCUUUCAAAUCCCCACACACGCUCUCAAAACAACGUUGUGGCCCAGGAGACCCCCUCCUUCGCCGCUGCCGGAAACCUAGCUCCCCCGCCAUGGUCGACGUCGACCGCCGCACUCCGGGGCUCCCCCCGGCGCACGCCGCGGGGCUCCGCCGCCUCUCCUCCCGCGCCGCCGCCGGCGUCUCCUCCUCCUCCUCCGGCGCCCGGGCGGGGCUCCUCUCCUUCUCCGCCCUGGCCGAGUCCCUCCUCUCCCACCUCCGCUCGUGCGGCGUCCCCGUCCUCCCGGGCCUCUCCGACGCGGAGCUCCUCCGCCUCGAGGCCGAGCUCGGCCUCUCCUUCCCCCCCGACCUCCGCGCCCUCCUCUCCCUCGGCCUCCCCUCCGCCCCCGGCUUCCCCGACUGGCGCUCCCCGCUCCCCCUCCUCCUCCCCUCCCUCCGCCUCCCCUCCGCUGCCCUCGCCCUCCACGUUGCCCGCCGCGGCAACGCCGCCCCUGCCCUGCUCCCUCGGCCCGCCCCCCCGACCCCGCCGCCGCUCUCCGCCUCGCCGCUCCGGCUCCGCCGCGCCCGCCCUCAUCCGCUCUUCCGCGCUGCUACCUCCCGCCCUCCCAGCCCUUGCCGGCAACCCCGUCUUCCGCGUCGACGACGACGCGGCGACGACGCGCCCGCGUCUCCUGCUGCGCCGCCGACUCGCCGACUUCUUCCGCCGCGAGGCCGCCUUCCGAUCCGACUCCGACUCCGCCCCCGCCCUCCCCCUCCGUCGCCAGCUCUCCGCCCCCAUCCCUCCCCCUCCGCCUCCCUCUGCCUCCUCCGCCCGCCGCAGCCUCGACUCCUCCAUCGCCGGGAAGAAGCCCCGCUGGAUCGAGUUCUGGAGCGACGCCGCCCUCGAUCGCCGCGCCCGCGCCUCCUCCGCCUCCUCCCAUCCCCCCGAUCCAGAGCAGUUCCUCGAGAUCCAGGUCCAAAACUCCAUCCCUAUCCCUAACCCUAGCCUCCUCCCCGACUGGGUCCGAACCUACCUGGACCGGAUCGGAUCCGUGCUCCGCGAGGGCGGGUGGGGGGAGCCCGAGGUGGCGGAGAUGGUCCACGUGGCGUCGUCGGGGCUACUCGACAACGUCGUCGUCGUCGACGGCGAGGCGAUCCUCGACGCACUCCUCCUGAGGGCCGACCGGUGCUCGGACUCGCUCCGCCGCGCCGGGUGGAGCUCCGACGAGGUCGUCGAGGCGCUUGGCCUCGGCUCCGCCCCGGAGCGGCGGCGUAGGUCGAAGGUAAGCUUACCGCCCCGGAUCGCACUCAGAAUGGAGAAGCUCGCAGGGGCGGUUUCUAACUCGUAGCCAUACAUUCACACAUACCGGCUUUUACCGGAUCCCAAGCCGAAGCCGCUUUUGAACUUAAAAACCUUUUUAAAGUGUUUUCUUCUCUCUUUUUUUUCAUCUUUUGAUUUGAUCUUCGUCCGGUUCGCUUUUCCAGUAUAGUUUCGACCUUCUAAACUUUACAAAUUUAAAGUCUCUACUAUUUAUUAAUUAAUGUAACCAUGUCCUUCCAAAUCACAAAUAUUUUAACAAAAAGAUUUUCUUUUAAACCUUAGAAACUGUAUUUGAAAAGGUGGGAUUACUGUUAAAUAUCAGUAUAUAUAAAUAAAUUAGAAAAUUAGUUUUAAGUAGAUGUUUUGGAUUUGAAAUGAGAGGGAAUCAAUGAAAAAGUGGCGCUUCUUCUGUAUAGUGGGAGGUGACUCAGGUGAGCUUCUUUCAUGGAAACGCGCGCACGGACACGGGGAUUGCCUGAUUCUGGUAAAAAGGUUGAAGUGAGAAGUCGUGGCGUAUGGACAAGGCCACAACGGUGUCCUUUACUCUGAUGUGAUGUGAUGUGAUGCUACAACUUUUGUCUUAUACUUCGCUUCUCCGCGGUACAUAUGUUUGGUAUAAACGUGAAUUUUUUUUUUUAAAAGUUUAACUCUAUUAUAUAAUUAUUUAAUUAACUUAAUUUGAAUUAGUCCAAUAAUAUUUUAACUUUAAAAUUUAAAUUUAUUAUUUUAUAUUUACAGAUUUAGUUUGUGCAUGUAAUUUUUACAACUAAAAAUUUAAUAAAAUAAAUAAUUGGCACAAAAUUUGAUCUUAUAGUGUUAUUGAUUUAUUCAAAUCAAAAUUUUCAAUUUAAAAUUAUUUAUAAUUUAUAUAAAUUUUGUACUUUUUACCUAAACUUUUUAAGUAACUUUUGGCUUUUACCGCAAAACAAACGGGCGAGGGAAGUACGAGGCCCGUGUCCAUCGGUGCUGUACUUGUCGGUCGACCUUUUGCCCAACGGUCACCGCUCCACUAGAAUCGAACACGAAAAGCAAGUGGGAAACGGGGCGGGUGACCGUUCGCACCUCACGUGCGUAUCCGGCCCACAACCAAUUGGACCUACCUGUCGCCUCUUUCCAAAACCGACCCGUUAUAACGAGUCACUACAAUGUUCUUUUGUCCUUUCCUGUGAACAAGGCCGUGUUCACUUUAUAAAUCUAGUUGUUUCGUAUUUAUAGCUAACUUAAUAAUAAUAUAUUUAAAGUGAAUAAAAUGUGUAACUCACUAUCCUUUUGUUAAAAGAAAAUUUUUGUUCUUACUCGCAGCACCUCGAUCGAUCUGCUGUGCUUUUCAAUCCGGAUCCAAAAGGGUGUCUGGUACUUUGUGUUGAACUUAGGGUGAAGAAGCAUAGAAAAAGUUAUAACAACAGGUUUUUCAAAGAGCUCUUCAGCUUGUGUUCGAUGCGAACUCAUGACUUUGCGCUUGGAGCAGGCGAUAUCUGGUUCCAACUAGCGAGUUAAUUUGUGUGGUUGCGUGUUCUCAAUUACUAAAUAUGAAAGCGCGAACUAACAACCGAUGAGAGAAAACUGAGAAGGCUACGAAAUGGCGGCAAUUUUUUUUUUAUUAGCUUUACCCCUUGCCCUGUGCUUGUUUGGUUCUUAUCUUACUUUCGAUUUUAAAAACAAGAAGCAUUACACAGUGUUUGGCAAAUUGGACAGCUUGAAACUUUUCAAGUGGAAUUAAAAUUCUGACUCUGAAACUUACAAGUUUUAAUUCAAUGUUUUGAUUUUACUGUGGAAAAAAUCUAGGUUAAUAUAAUAUUUGGUCUUACAAUAUAAUUCCGAUAGCACUAUAUCAAAUAAUAUUACAUAUAUAUAUUCUAGUGCCAAACAUUCCAUUGACAAUAGUCGACAACAACCUGACCCACAAACAAGCAGCGCAAAUUCGAAGGCAGGUAGGGUCUCCCCGCUCCUGCUUAUUUUGGCGGAUCAUGGACGAUUUUUAUAACAAGUUGAUUUUUAUUCUAUUUUGUUCUACUUAUCCUUUUAUUUGGAGGGUAGGGUCCGAAGUGGAGGAUGAAUCAAAGGAAAGUCAGGAUAUUCGGCUUUCUAUUCCAUUUCUUUAGUAGAUCUAAGACGGGUUCAAAAUAAAUUAUUAUUAUUAUUAUUAUUUAUUUUAGCCUCUAAUUAUGUCUCAUUCGGAGCGGACCAGGCGUAAAAGUCCAUCAAUCUGGAUCCAUCUGCGUCCCUACCUACAAAUGGCCCAUCUCCAAACAGCUACGCAUGGGAUAACCCUCCCUCUUCCGACUCCCCGGCACCUACAACAUGCCUCCCAUAACGCAUUGAAUCACAAAUGGAGACAAAAAAUAAAAAAAUAAAAAAAAAAGCCACCCUUUUCCACAACAGCUCAGAUGCAUUGUUUGGAUAUUGCGACAAAAACAGAAUUCUGGUCAAUCCCUAUAAACCCUCUAGAAAGAAUUAACCCAUGCUGAAUUAUUAACAAGAAGUUGGCCCACCCCAUUUUUUUUUUUUUUUUAAUAAUACACGUGUUGGAAGUUUGAAUCUUUUUCAUUUCAUUUGAUAGAAAUCCUUCAACCGCAGAGGACAAAAAAAAUUUGUGAGUUUGACGAACUCGACUUCAACCCCCAACCAACUGAAGUCGAGAAGUCGAUCUCCAUACAAUUGUGAGCGGGAGUUUGGAUGAUUUCGCGUCUUCGGUAUUGACACAAAUACUGACGCGCACGACUUUCUCGAAAAUUACGAAUUCAACCUCUGGAAUUCAAAAUCAAACAAACAGACGCUUAGGGGAGAGUUUGGGCUAUGUCUGUUUCAGGCCCAGUCGGCGAAGCCCUGGGCCGAGACAGCCCGGCCCGGUUCAUAAACAGCUUUUUAACACUUUCCCCACUCCACUCCGAUCAAAAACCCAAGAAAAAAAACAAAAAAAAAAAAAAACCCCUCACAAUUCAUCUUCUUCACCUGUUUACGGCGGCACCUUCCCGCGAUGGUCUCCGCCACCGCCGCCGACGACUCGGCGGCAGAAUCGCUGGCGAUAAGGAAGCUCGGCCGUCUCUUUAAGCUCACCGAAGUCCACCUAUGGCGAGCUACCUCUUUUUUUUAUUUAUUUAUUUUACUGAUUUUUUUUUUUUUUUUGUGUCGCCAAUUUUUAGUUCUAAAGUGUUUUGGGAAUUAUGGAGCAGGGAUAGUUCUUAUUCCAACAGUUAUUCCGAGACUUAUUCUCGGGAUUACUCUCCGGAAGACGAGCCUACUGUAAGUUCAGUGUAGCUGUAGUAGUUUUCUCUUUUUUUAUUUUUUUUAUUUUUGGGGUUUUAGGGUUUUGAUGCUGUACUUUUUGGACGAAUUUUGCAAACGAACUUUUUUUUUUUUUUAAUUUUUGUGUGUGUAUGUGUGUAUUUUUCACAUUAAGCUUUGAAAAUUUUGUUUUUUAGUUGUUAAUUUGAUCAACCCUAAAACAGAGCUCUUGCACCGCUACUGAUGUCAACUCAGGAAUCACACAGGAAGUGGAUGGUAAGCUUCCUUUUUCCCUUCGAAAUCAUGUUCUUUUCAAAAUUUCAAAUAAGAUUAUUGAAUCACUCUACCACAUUCUCCUAUGAUGCUUCAGCAUUGAACAUUGGUGUCAUCUCUAUCAUUUUUACAGGUUAUGCUCAUGCCGAAGAUUUGGAAUUAGCUUGUCAGAUGGAUGCUUUGGGUCUGCCCGUUUCAUUCAGCACGAGUAAGGAGGUUAGUGCUUUUCGAAUUUGCCUUCUUAUGCCUUUUUUUUUUUUUCUCUCUCCUUAUUUGUAAGCUAAUAUUUACUCGUAGAAUUCAUACUUAUAAGUGGUAGUUUUGUCCAUUGCAGAAGAAGAAUGUAGCUUUCGGCGGAAAGAAAAAGGGAAAGGGAGUGAAAUCCAGGUCUUCUAGUGAUCUAAAAGAUAAUACCGUCCCUGCAGUUUGGAAAGACGGUGAAUCGGAAAGUGUUUCUCCAUCGAGAGUUUGGCAUGAUUUCACAAGUUCGCCUACUCGUUGCGAUGCUUCAGGAGAGUCUGCUCGAGCUUCUCCUUGCAAAACUGAAGAGAUUGAUGGAGGUUAUGCUGCUUUUGCCAACAGCCAAUUUUGUGACAAAGUGAGCGAUGAAAUAGGCCUUGAUCAUGUUGAUCGAGAGACCAAGUUUUGUGGUAUUGCUUCACAGUCGGACGCUCGAUCCUCUGGGCAGCGUUCUCAUGGAAAUGGAUUUAGUAAUGGCAGCGGUGAACUUUGUGAGGAGGGAAGGUCAUACGAGAAGAACGAGGAGGAAAAGCACUUGGACUCUUCAUUGAUAUCACAUGAUACUAGUGAAAAUUGUGGGUCAAAUGACACUGAAACACUGAAGCCCUGUUCAAUAUCAGUGGAGUCGCCUUUGAGUGAGAACCACGCUCAAAAUGCUGAAAAUAGUGCACAUUUUGAAUUUGGUGACUGGAGAGUGAUUUGGGAUGCUUUUUAUGAGAGAAAUUAUUUCUACAACGUCGAAACACGGGAGUCUACGUGGUAUCCUCCUUCAGGCUUGGAAGACUUUGCUCUUUCCACCAGCACUUGUGCAGCUACUGAAGAGGAUGCACAGGGAUUACAAGAUUUGAGUUGCUCAUUCCAUGAAAAGAAUGUGCAUGAUUUGGAUAAAGAGGAGAAUAAUGUUUACUGUGAAGAAGCUUGCAAUAUACCUGAUUCUUCACUUGAAGAUCCGAAAAACACUAUACAUGAAGUACAAUAUGAAGAAAAUGUGCAAAGUGACUCCUCUACGAUUAAUGGGCUAGACUAUCAUUAUUCAAUUGCUACAACAAAAAAGAAAAAGAGAGUAAGAAGACUCCAAUCACGUAAGCCGAUAUGUAUAGCAGUAGAUAAUCUAUUGAAGAUUUCUCAUCCCUUCAUUUUACUUUUUCUUCACAUCUGCUCGUUGUUUCACCCCGAGUUGAAGAGGGCUGGAUAUAUAGAAGGAACUCAUUUGUAACCUUUCAAACAGGAUGAAGCCCAAUUAUUACCCUAGUUCCUAUUAUACACCGAGUUUUAAAUACAACAAUACUUUAUAUACCUAGGUGAAGAAAUUCUGUGAGCCAAAUGUCUCUCACAAUUCCGUGCGGACUACAUUAACCGUUUUAACUAAGUUUUGCCGUUUUAGCAUUUUUAGCCUGCAUCCUUCCAAACUUCUUUGCAGAUUAUACACCGGUAGCAUCUAAGCUAGUUCUAUCAUGAUUUUUUACUAUAGCUUGAAAUAAGUUUUUUUAAGUUAUUUUUCCUUUCCGCAGAACAUACAUUUCAAGGAGUCAUCGAAGGCCUCUCUACCACUGAUAUCAGCAAGUACUGGAUUCAGAGGUACUCACUUUUUUCUCGUUUUGAUUAUGGUAUAAAGAUGGAUGAAGAAGGCUGGUUUUCCGUCACACCAGAGCCCAUUGCAAGACAUCACGCGUCUCGAUGCGGUAGUGGCACUAUUAUUGAUUGUUUCACGGGAGCCGGAGGAAACGCCAUCCAGUUUGCUAUGAAGUCCGUAACAUUGCUCUUUUUCAUAAGUAAUCCCUUGGCUAUAUAUCUCAUUUGCAAAGGAAUGCUUAAAUCCUUUUUUCCUUUUUUUUUAAAGAAUGUUAGUUGUAUUUCAGGAGCAAUCAUGUUAUCGCUAUUGAUGUCGAUCCAACGAAAAUAGAGUGUGCACAGCAUAAUGCGGCUAUCUAUGGAGUUAAUGACCAAAUAGAUUUUAUAAUAGGUGACUUCUUUCAAAUUGCUCGACGCUUGAAGGUACCAUUACUGUUUCUUUGCCAAGUAUAUUUUGUGGAAUAUGUUCUCCUGAUAUGUGACAUUAAGGUCUUUGCUGCUGAUGGUUUAUCAUCGUAUACGCUUGCAGGGAGACACUGUUUUCAUGUCACCUCCUUGGGGAGGUCCUGACUAUGUUAAAGUGGAAACUUAUGAUAUCAGAACCAUGCUUAAGCCUUGUGAUGGGUUAGGCCUUUGUUUUUAUAGUUCUUUUUAUGAGAUGGUAAUGUUUUAAGAUGAGAAUUAACAUCCGUCUUUUCUUUGAUUUAGAUAUUUUCUUUUCAAAAUUGCAAUGACGAUUGCCUCGAGAAUAGUGAUGUUUCUUCCUCGGAAUGUCGAUCUAAACCAAUUGGCGGAGCUGUCUUUAUCUGUUGAUCCUCCCUGCGAGCUUGAGGUAUAAGUCCAGCUCGAGUUGUCUCCUUGCUUAUAUUUAUUCCUCUGUGUUUCCUCUUUUAUCUGGGUAUCACUUUAAAUAAUCAAAUUUUUGCAGCUUGUAUGCCUUUCCCGUUCUCCGUUAUAAUAAAUUUCUGUCCCCUCUGGUUUGAUAAUGGGGAUCUGUUUUCUGAUUAUUCUUUAAAUUACAACCUAAUUAUAGACGGUGAAAUGAUUGCGGGUGAUUUGAUGUACUAAUUACUGGAACACCUUAAAAUUUUGCUUCUCUGUCAAUCUGUUAGUAUGGAAAUGUUCGGUAAAGAUUAAUAACUUAGUAGUUUCAUGAUAUGCAAGCUCUGUAACGUUUUGAUGUGAUCUAAAAAAGAUAGUUGACUGAGUUGCAUAGAAGCAUCUCUAUUUCUCAUUUCUUCUGCCAUAUUACUGUCAUUAAGCUUCUCAGUCGCCGAACAUGGUUUAGAAAUGCAUUCCUAGAAUAUAGCUGCAUAUAUAUAUUUUUUUCAUAAUCAGAAUAUAAAUAUUAAAAGCUUUUGCUUAAGUAGAAAUGUUUAUUCUGCUGUGUAAUUUGAAAAUAAUCUGCCGUUUCACUUUCAAAAUUUCUCGUCUAUGGUUUAACCGUCACAAAUUUUGCGUUGACCGUGUUGAACAUUUUGCUUGCAGGUUGAGAAGAGCUUUCUGAAUGGAAAGUUUAAAGCAAUUACGGCCUAUUUCAAAGUACGAUGAUGCAGGGAUCAUGCGGAGAUCACUACCUGACUCUUGCAUCGGAGGGGACGAUGAAUCCUGUUUCUUUAUGGCAAAGGAGCUUGUUCAUAUUAGUGAUGAACCUGGUUGGGAGUGUGUACAUCUAGCAUAUGUAUCAAUGGCAUUGACCUAUUUAUUUGGUUCUAUUUGUUACAAAUAUGUUGAUUUUUUGUAUUAAAGUAUGUGCAAAAAUGUGUAAGAAACUCUAGCCUCUUUCUAUGUAUGGAGUGUGACAAUUAGCUUUGAGAGUCAUGAGUUUUCUAUGCAGAUGCUGUUUAAAUAGAAUUGUUCUAAGAAGCAUCUAGUCUAGUUAAGUGGGCCUUAAUGGUUUAGCUGCGGAACUGGAUGUUUCAAAUGAAUUUGAAACUUUAUUACUUUUUGAGGUUCAGAAGCUUGUUUUCUUCGUUUUGCCCCUGUAAGAACUCUAAAAUUUUUGUAACCAUACUCUACUGAGCUUUUUCGCAAUUUACCAUCUAAUACAUGAUUGAGAUUUGAAAAAAAAAAAACUUCUAAAUUAAUAUAAAUGAUUACGAUUACGGCUCAUCAAGCUACAACAUCUUGUUGAGAAACUUUUCAACGAAAUCACGUUGGUGUGGAUAAUUUGAUGUGUAGUAAUGCUUUUAAAUAAUGUAUUUAUUUUCAAAUUCUGUGAACAUCAAAUUGGAGGAAUUUUUUUAUUUUGAGGGAUCUUAAAAUUUCAUUUUUUUUAAAAAAAAUUUCUAUAACACAAAUAAUAAAUUAUUUUUUUAUUACACGUUUUUACUGCGAAUGGCUAUUUGUUCCUAGACGACUGAGCCUUGCAAAAGAGUCAAAUCCAUCACCACAGUUUCGAAAACUACGAUCCGAUCCCCUCUUCUUCUUCUUCUUCUUCUUCUCCGGGCAAUCUCCCUCAAAAUCGAAGGGGAAAAAAACCCUAAAACACGGAUUUGAGAGAGGUGGGAGAAUCGGAGCGAUGCAGAGCUUGUGGCGCCUCACGCUGUUCCUCUGUUGCUUGUGGGCCGCCACUCUCCUCUACGGCGAGAUGGUCGCCUACUGGGUCCCGCUCUCCACCUGCAAAUGGCCCCGCCUCACCCCCUCCUCCUCCUCCUCCCCCUCUUCCUCGGUAAUGAUUCGUAGCAUUUGAGUCGAUUGAUUUUGUGUUCGUUUCGUUUUUGGAUUUCGAAUUGGAUCGGCAUCAAGCGAUUCUAGAAUGGGAAGAACAGGGUUAGCAUUUGAAUCCAUUACUUUUUUGUUUCGUUUUAUGAUAAGAUCUCGAGAUUGAGCUCCUACAGUCCCUAAUUUUAAUUAGAUUGCAAAUGUUCGCACACUAAUCUGAGGAAUUAGUAUAAAGUGAUCCUAGAUUUGGAAAAAUUAGCGAUUGGUGAAGUAGGAAUGAUCUUUAGGGCACAGCAAGGUUUCCAAUUUCGGCUGAAAAUUUAAGGAUUUUCUUUUCAUUUUUACAUAAAUUGUCGCAUUUGCUGAGCAUGUAAUGAUUUAUGAUAUAACGUUUUAGAUUGUACCACCCAUGGUGAAGUUGAUUUGAGCUGAAAUUUUAGCGCUGUUUAAUAUUUGCUAGCGUGUCGUUGUAUUAUACACUUGAUCUUUAUAGCUGAUGGUGUAGGAUUCAGUGAGUCAAAUUUUGCGAUAAGAACACUACCGAAUUAUUUAUUUAUUUAUUUAUUUUUUCUGAAUGCUACUCCACUUAUUAUAUGUAUAAAAUGCUAAUACAUGUCAUUCUUGUUUGUUAGUUAUUGUUAUUGUUCCAGUGUGUAAUAGUUUUACAAUGCCCUCUUGGCAAUGUUUGAAAUUUGUUUACGAACUUGGUUUAAUUUCCUUGUAUUUACUUUCUUUGACAGGUGAAGGUUGCUGUUGUGGCUGAUCCACAGGUUAACUUAAUUCCACUGCAACAUUAAAUAGAUAUCUCAUCUAAUUUUUUAUGCUUAAUGUCAUUUAGUUCUCCAAAGCACUGCUUUAUUCUACUCUUUCCUUGCUACUCUGAAAGAAGUUUUCAUUGCAGCUUAUGGACAGCACCUCACUUGGACUUGCUCCUGAUUCGUUUGCCCUAGAAGUUGCCCAGUUUUAUACAGAUUUGUACAUGCGAAGAGCUUUUCAUACAUCUAUACUGCCUUUUAAACCUGACGUGGUUUUAUUUCUGGGUGAUUACUUCGAUGGGGGUCCGUAUAUGUCGGAUGACGAGUAAGGCACGGUUCUUAGAUUCUUUUUCUUAUGUUCUCUAAAAUUGCUUUUACCAUAGAAUACCUAGUAUUAUUUUAUCUUUAUGCUCAAUUUUUUUUUUGGAUUUUGGCUUUCAAGCAAACUUUGGACUGGCUUAACAAGAAUCAAUUAAUCAACAUACUUACUACUUGGGCAAUCUAUAUAGCUAUAUCUUUAGAUUUUCUCUUUGACGAUCCUCACAGGUGGCAGGAAUCGUUAAGUCGUUUUAAGCAUAUAUUUGGUGUGAAUGAGAAAAGAAGAGAUUCUGACACUCCAUACUACUACCUGUGUGGAAAUCAUGACAUUGGCUAUGCGGCUUUUCACUCCCAACAUCCCGAGGUAGUUUCUUAUUGUAAAAUUUAUCAUUUUUGUCAUAGUUUUUGCUGGUUUUGUUCCUACACUAGUUUGUGCAAGAGAAGUAAAUAUACGACCAAGUAUACUAAUUUGCCAUUGAAUUACUUUCUGCCGAAGAAUCAAUUUAAGAAACACUGCUGGCACAAAACUAAGGGCCUGAAAAAGGUAGAAAAGGUUAAAAUUAAAAAGUUAAAAUUUUGCCCCAGAAGAAAACAAUCAAUGUGAAUGUGCAUGAUGAACAAUAACCAAGCUAGAGCCAGAUAAUCUUAAAGCUCUUUUCCUUCUUAAAAAAAUCCUAGAUGUCGGUAAUAGAGCCUCGUAGUUGGUCAUAUUAUAGUAAGCUUGGUUAUUUCUUGGGAAACCUUAGUUGUGAGAACUGCGUAGGAUUGUUGAUUAAUGCUGAAAAGCAAAAAAAAAAAAAUGUAUACGUGGAUAAAAUGGCAUUGCACGGGUGGUCAGAACUGUACCAUUUCUGUGCACUGCAUGACAUUGGUUUGCAUCGUUUCUGUCUAUUCCUACAUCAUUUCCUACACUAAAUCAUGUCGUGCAAUUCUUGUUAUCUUUUACUCUUCUCUAUGGACUUUAAAGGCUGAUUUUGGCUAAUUUGGAUUUGUGUCUCAUGGUUUUGUUUGUGCCACUGAGUUGCUCCUGUGCUAUUGUUUGCAUGUCUCUACAGGCCUUGCUGUCAACUCCUGUUAGAAUUUGUUUUUCAAUUGGGUUUUGAUUCAAACAAAAGGGUUUCGGUCGAGUUUUGAUCGAACCCUGACCUUAAUCCCAAAUUCAUCCCAUUUCUCUUCCAGUCUUCCUUUCCUUUUCUUCCUGCUCCAUCUAUAACCAAGCCCUUGCUACGGCAUCAUUGCUGCCUUUAGACCCUUCUCCUGCCUUAUGUGGUCACCACUUACCAGACCAGCCGCCCAUCUCCCAGCAGCACCACUCACUAGACCAUCCACCCAUCACCCGCUGCUGCUGGGAGGAGGGGAGGUUUUAAUGCUUGCAUAUGCAAAAUAGAGUUGAAGGAAUGUCCUAGCAGAAAAUAGAAGCAGUGAUCUCAGGGAACCUGGAUGAAACAAAUGAAACCAUGGGACACCCCAUGUGAAAAUGCCUUUGAAUUUAUCCUUUAUAUUUUGUCAAUUGAUUUAAGAAUUUUAUUGUGAUAGGUGAUCAGUCGGUAUGAGAAUGAGUUUGGAUCAAGAAAUUAUCACUUUUCUAUUGGAAAGGUGAAUUUCAUUGUUGUUGACGGUCAAACUCUUGAUGGUAUGUAGCAACUACUUGAAAUUUGAGUUUGAUGUUUCUUUACUAAUUGAGAAAUAUAGAGUUGACCCAUCAGCCAGAUGAAAUGCAUUAAUCUUCACAUGUUAUUGGAUACUGGUUGAUGAUCUUGACUUAUAUUCUAAUAGAUAUAGAAUGUCUUUGUCAAGUACUAUACUGACAAAAUUCUGAGAAUUUUGUAUAAAGUAUGUUCUCAGCUAGGUUAUUUUAUUUUAUUUUUGUUGCACAGUACCUAUUGAAUUGAGUGCUAUUUAUCAUGUUAGUAUAUUUGUAUGAAGACCCUUUGAUUGAUGAUGGUCAUCAAGCAAUAUACAGCUGUAGGGGGACGAUAGAGUUUUUGUAGAUGAAUCUAAUUAAUUGGAAAUCCAUAUAUUAGUGUCAUUAGGCUGUUAUCUGUAUCUCUAGCAUUUUUUUUUUGUGGGUGGACCUACUAACCUGGCUUUCUUGUGUGCAUGUAUACAAUUUCCAUUGUAUAUUUGCUUGCUAACUGAUUCAAUUGUAUACAUGAUGGGUGAUGGACAUCUAUUAAGCAGGGCCCAAACAAGGAAAUCAAACAUCAUUAUCCUGGAACUUCAUAAAAAAUAUAUCAAAUGGUAUGUGAUCUGGUUUAUCUGAAUACCGCUGCUUACUGUGAUUUUUUAUUUAAGAUCAAAUUGGUUGACUAACACUUCUCUAUCUUUUAGAUAUUAAAUCAAAUCCAACAGUCCUACUGACACACAUUCCUCUUUAUCGUCCUGAUAACACACAUUGUGGCCCGUAUCGUUCAUCCCCUGUUAUAAAUCAGGUACUUUUUCUUCAUAAUUUGGGAACAAUGAGUUACCAAGAAGUAGAGGUGUAAUACAAAAUUGCUGCUUUCAAUCAGAAAGAUUGUUGUGUUGUGUCAUUAUUUCUACCUGUCAGCCUUACAUUAUGUAAUAUGUGGUUGGAUCGUAACUUUUAAGUCAAACAAAUGCCGUUUACAUGGAGAAACUGAUUCAAUUCUUUUCUUUUUCAGAGAAUUUCUUAUGCUGCAUUUGAUCAAGGAAUUACGUAAGUCCCUAUUUCUUAACUGAUUUUAUUGCUUUAAUGAAUAAGUUCAAUAGAGCGGUAAGGGUUACUUUCUUGGAAUGAUAAAGCACAAGAGAGACUGCAAUUAUGAAUAUCUUCCCCUAAGCCUUUUGUUCGAGCUUGUUUGUUGCACUCAACUGAUUCAGACAUUUAUAGGUCAACGCUUACAGAGAAUUCAUACUUAAGUGACUGAUGAAACUUUACUAUGUUGAUGUAGGUAUCAAAACUAUCUUGACAAGGAAACUUCAAACCUUUUACUAAGCUCUAUCAAGCCAGUAAACUUCUCACUUUGUAGCAAUUUUCCAAGAUACUUAGAAUCAUAGGAGUACCACCUUUUUACUUCAAUUAGGUUAUUGCAGAUACUGGUGCUCUCUGGCCAUGAUCAUGAUCAAUGUACAGUUUUCCACUCAACUCCUUUCGGAUCAGUACUAGAGGUGAGAAAAUUCUAGAAUAGUCUUAGUAUUGGUUUAUAAUAUUAAUCUGCAUCUAAAAUUUUCCUUCAUGCAGCAUACCCUUGGGACUAUAAGCUGGCAGCAAGGAAAUCUCUAUCCAUCAUUCAUGCUGAUGUCUGUAGCAUCGCGACUAUUGCCGAAUGCGACUGAGCCAGAAAACAGUGUCUCUACCCUUCUUUGUUUUCUUCCGAAGCAAACCCACAUCUAUAUCUGGUACUACAACUAGUUCGAGACUCUUAAAUAUUUAUUUUGAAAAUCAUCUAUUCACGUAUAUACCCUGUAAAAGUUGAAUAUUCAUAUAUAUAUGCACAUUGAAAGUGUAGUUUUUCACGGUACAGAAAUAACCUUAUCUUAAGCUGAGGCACCAUCUUAUUCAUAUUAAGUUGGUUUUCUAUUAAUGAAAAAAAAUUAAAGAGGGGAAUCUUUUCUACAUUGAGGGGUAUGUAUGAAAGAAAUUAAGUUUGGUAGGGCAUAUAUUGCUGAAUUAUGACUUGUUUGUUGUUGUGAAAAUUGACAACACACUACCCUUUUGUAUUUUUCAGGUAUAUUUGUCAGUUUGUAUUAACUCUUCUUCUGCUUAUAAUUUGGCCAACGACUGGUUUUGGUUCUUGGAGUUAUCUCGAUAGAUUUUUGGAUGUCAUCAAAGCAAUCGGCAACAACUUUGGCAACACUGCCAAAGAGAAGGAUGACGAGGAAAACUGUGACUACGAAAUGAUAUGGGACGCGGAAGGAUCAAUGCACCUUGUUAAGAAAGCCACAUCGAAGGCCCCAAACAUUAAUUCGGAGGCGAUAAAAACAGGGAGGUAAUGAGAACAUACUUGCCAAACUUUGCAGACAUAGGUUUUGAAUUGCCGCAAUCAGUGGCCAGAAAUUAAUCACCUGCGGUCAAACCCCCCCUCCUUGUCCAUUGCUUUUUGUGUUGGAUUUGGGGUUUUUUGCAAAAAUAAUCCACUAUUCCACUAUCCUAUGGCUUUGCGACUUCGUCGACAUUUCGUGAAUACGCAAUUUUGGUCCAAAAGUUUGCAAAUAAGGAAAAGAGGAAUCAGGAUCACAAAAUCAAAAUCAAGUUCCUUUUCUUUUCCAUUCGUGCAAAAUAGCCUCAUUUGAGUGGUGUGAUGGUUGUGAUCCCAUUUAGCACCGAACUGAUUAAAUAUUUAUUGUGACAGGGGAAACGUUGUUGCGAGACCAACAGCAAGGAAGCACAUGAUGGAGCCAGGGCCAUCAGAUUACAUCGAAAUUAAUACGGAAGCAAGGUCAGAUGAUGCAGGAAAAGUGCCGCGGUUCACCAAGUCAAAGGCAACGAGGCUGGUUCAGCGGCUGAUUCGGGUGAUUCGGUUGCUUGUAGUUAUCGCUGCCGUGAAUGUUCCUCUCUAUAUGAUGCUUCUCUUCAAGGAUUGGAUCGAACGGUGACUAACAAAUAUGACGCCACCGAUGUUUUCUCCGGAGGAUACAGUAGGAACGCAUAUGGAAUAUUACCCUAGAAAUUCUUGUAUUUGUGUAGAUUCAUGGAGCUAACGGUUUGAACUUCAAAAAUUGUGGAUGAAGCAAAAGAAGCAACAAGAUUGUGCGUUGGGGUUUCUGUGCAGCUUGAUGCCGUUAUAGACGAAUAGGCGAAUCAUGCACGUAGAAGGCAUUGGUUUUUUUGUGGUGCUGGAUAAAAUAAUCUUUGUAGGAUUGGUAAAUUGAUUUGUCUGUUGAGGCGCAAAAUAAGAUUUUGGAUUGGUCUAAGCAUGUGAAUCUUUAAUAAGCGGUCAUUUUUGUACUUGAAAGGGAAAAAAGAAGAAGCAAGUGAAAAGGCCUAUGCACUGGUGAAAAGCGGGACUCGAAGGUAGAAAUGAAGAUUUAAAGCUCGGUACUUUCAACAAAUAUGUAAAACUGAUUCAUAAAUAAUAGUGUUUGCCUAGGGUUGGUGGAGUGGUAGUUAAUUGAAUUGUAUGAUUUAAUCGAUGAAAAUGGUUAAAAAGAUAAAUCUAAUGACGAGAAAUUUGAUAGCACCCAGCGUUUGUUGCUAUUGAUAGCAUAGUAGUCGAACUCUCUCUCUCUCUCUCUCUCUCUCUAUGUAUAUAGAGUUUCUUUACUAUACUAUCAAUACUAUUUGAGUUAUUUUAGCUGUGAGAUUUAUUCCUUCGUUUAUUUUUAUUACUGGAUUAAUAUUAUUUAACCAAUUAUCAUUAAAUCUUACCUGAAUAGUAAAAAAAAAUUCAAAUAUUAUUAAUAAUAUAGAAGCUCAAUUGUAUAUAUAUAGAGAGAGAGAGAGAGAGAGAGAGAGAAUUACGUUGGAAUGUUUCUAAUUGGUGCUAUUAGAUUUUCGGCACUUGGAUGAAGGGAUAUAUAGUUAGAGUGAUAGUGGUUUCUCUAGAAUUGAGUGGGUGAUUGAUUGUAUAGUAUAACCUAACAGAUGAAAAUAAUCAAAGAGAUAAAUCUAACGAUAAAAAAUUUGAUAACAUAAGUACUUAAUGCUAUUAGAAACACUCCAGCCAGAUUAUAUACAGAUAUAUAUUGUAUGUAUAAAUAAAUAGUUGAGAAAAAGAGAAUGGAUUGUUUAAUUAACCCUUAAAAUUAUUAUUACCAUUAAGAUUCGACAUUCUUAAAAUAAUAAAAAGAAAUUGUACAGCUUUGUAAACUGUUCUGCCAAAUGAAAUAAAGACAAAGUUAUUCUCCAACAGCAGUAUACUGCUUCCGGGGACAUCUUGUCAUAUCCUCUAGUCUUGAAGUCAAAUCAGCAAACUCCAAAGAAAGCAGCCUCCAUUUGUCGAGAAACAAAAUCACACGAAAGCUCAAUAUACAAAAUCAGUGGCUUGAUUGUCCAGCUGCGAGUUCCGCCAUCCGGUUGCGCAUUUUGUAUUGCAGCAUGGCCGGAGCGCAGUCGAGAGGCGUUUCACCUGAAUAAAGAAAGGUGUAUAAGAUUUGUAACCCCUGACCCUUGUAGAAAUGUUGCGAUUCAUCUAUAUCCGUUGACAAAUUUAAGAGAUUGGAAACAGCUUUGGACGAGUGAUGUAUGAUAACCUUCUUAUUCUUAUUUUGGGAGGUGCAUGCACUGGAAUUGUUAUUUUCUCUUUUCAGAAUGACAGAAAUAUAACAUUAGAAGAGAGUGCACAAGAGCAAAGGCAAUCAGUCCAAAAAACAUAGAAUCAAUGCUGAUCAUGCAGUCCAUUUCAUGAAAUUGCUCUUUGAGUAAUGGCGCAGGUAUAUUUAAAUAAUGGAAAAGCAGUAACCUUGCCCAUUCUUGCAUUCCACGUUCGCUCCAUUAUCCAUGAGAAUAAGAGCAAUCUCGGUCUGAUUAAAUAGUGCAGCCUGCAAUCAUUGAUAGAGGAAUCUCUGUUAUAACAGAAAAACCAUGAUAGAUACAUUGUAACAAGCUUAUGGAAUAUCAAUCGACGUCUGUAAGCUGUUCAAUGUAUCCUCGUUCCAACAAUUGUGGCACACCUGCCUUCUAGAAAUUCAAACAAGACGACAAAUCAAGUUAUGACAUACCAAAUGCAGCAAAGUGAAACCUUGCUUGUCACAGUAGUUUGCGUCCACUCCCUGUCCAAUGACGAUAGAAAGAUUUUGAUUAAUGAUAUAGUUAGUGCAACGGGAAGAAGGAAACAAAGAUACCUGACUCAGUAGUUUUCUGACAGCUGGAACAUCACUGUUCUUAAUUGCUUCCCUUAAACCCUGAAAAUAUAAUGACGAGUGCUGAAUGAAAUCCAGUGCUAGAAUAUGGUUAAACCAUGAAACAGAAACAUGUGCCUAUUAGCUAGUUUCUGACCUCUCCAGUGACUUCAUAAUCCGCAUGACCCUUAUCUGAGCUAGUAUUGUUUGUUUGACCAAGAUUAAAAAAUGAACUGCAUGGACAUUACAAACAAGUCAAGAAGAAAGAUUCAAAUGUAGAGAAGAGCACAUUAAGCUGAUGCAUUUGGUACUCUAAUAAGAAAGCCAAUAAAAAAUUGACAAGUGGCAAUUUUAAAUAGAUGAAAAAAAAGUUGAAAAACAUGAUAGAAAGUUGCAAUUAUAGUGCUGAGAUGGAUGAAAAGAAUGUGAUAACAUGUUGCACAUGUAAUAAUGCUAAGUGCCUACUCAGCCAAGCUUCUGGACAGCUUCUAUACCCUGAAAAGUAGCAAUUAAGAGUUUGGCAAAUGGAAAGUAGACGUUGUUAAGGAGGUUUUUAAUGAAAGAGCUAUUAUUGCUUCUUCAAACAACACUAGUCAAACACAUUUCUGCAGGAUCUCCGGCCAGGCCAAGUGCAUGAAAAAACCCAUCCGACUUCACUCUUCAAGCUUACAGGUACAGGUUGGCAUUAUGCUAAGCUAAAAUCAUGGUGCCUUAGACAUCAAAAGUUUUGGAUAUUGAAAAACAGUAGUGUCUACUUCUAUAUAACCUAGAAUUGCUGGCUGAUGAAGCUCCGGAUUUCUUUGUACUGGAUUCAGCAGAUUGUUGAGUGCUGAUAGCUUUCUUUGGUCUUGGGUUGGACUGCACACUUGAUGAAGAACUAUGAACCUGCAAUUCAUCGAGCACAGGAGGAUGCAAACAUCGAAACCAUGUUCUAGUCAACUUAACAAUUACAAAUAAUUAUUUACCGGUGCAGGAGGAGGAUCUGGUUUUGGGGCUUCACAUAUACACAAAGGCAUUCCACAUUUGCACUCUAAAGCUCCUACAUUGUGAUCUCCCGAAGUUGGUGCAGAUGAAGGAACAUUAUCCUCACCUAUUUUUAGCCUUGAAAUGGUGUCGGUUGCAGCAGCAAUGGCCUCCGAAGAAGUUUCUUUAUCAACAUUUCCAGAACUAAAGCAACAUAGAAGGGAAAUAUAUCAUCAAAAUCCAGCAUUAAGAAGCUAUUCCUUAUCAACAAAAGUUCCCAUAGUUACCACGAUAGAGAAAGCGAUAAAGGCUGUAUUUAUUUGUUGCCAAAUUAGCUUCAUGCUUUACCACAAGGAACAUGAAACAAGCAAUCAUAAUGGUACACUAUAGCAGAAAUUUUAGCACACCUCGUAUCACCAAAAAACUUAUAAACACCCGUCAAUAAGUUGACCUAUGGACUACUUGUGCACAUCAAAACCUAUGAAUAUCAUAUAUGGGAAGCAGCUGGACCGUUGUCCUGGUGCAAUUUUCUUGGAAGUACAAUCAUGAAUUGAAGUUUGCAAACCAAUUAAGAGAAAAGAUAGCAAUCAUCUCAAGUUAUAUACGACUAUGCAUCUAUAUCAUCAAAGAACAUAACUUUUAUAUAAUCAAGACGAAAGCAACAUUGAGAACACUACCGCGAAGAUUUGUUGAAACAUUCAUAGCAGACUCUGACAUCUGUAUAUAUGCCAUAUUGAGGCAAAGCCUGAAAAUAUAACAUGAAUUUCAGUAGGAAGUAUAUAACCUCAAGUUUAUAUUUCGUCACUUCAAUAUGAAUAAACAAGUUUUAUGCACAGAACUGUGGCAAAAUGUACCAUGUGAUAUGAUGAAUGUUCAUGGCAUAGUGUCUUCCCACAACUUCGGCAGUGAUGCUGGGCAAGAAAAGUACCAAAAGUAAGAAGCAUGUCAAACACAAGAAAGCUUGACAAUGUUCACACUUGGUUACUUAGUGGAAAGCUAGAUUUAUAUUAGCUAAAUAGUAUUUUCUGCGGAACAUCAUCAAAAAUCUAUAAACCAACUUAUAAAUCACUAACCUAAUUAUCGUGGGCGGUUAUAAUAAAUAUUUACUCAAAAAAAUAUGGUCCCUCUUAAAAGAAUGUCUACUUUAGUGGAGCCAUCUCUCAACAAUAUGGAAAAAGUCUAAUCAAACCUCGUUCAUUAGUAAAGCAUGCCUCUUAUAUUAAUUUGAAGCUUUAAGAUAGAUUCAUCUCUCCGAAAUUUCUCAAAAUCAUCCUAUCCUGUGUCUAUAAUUGCGCCUUAGCCCUGAAUACGCCGUUCAACUGUGUAGAGUAUGUAAUAUAAACAUUGAAGAAGAAUGGUUGUGACAAAAGUUGUUUCCUUGGGUUCUUAGUCAUGAGUAUAUCAAAAAUCAAAGCCUCCCAAAAGCAUUAUCCUCAUGAAUGUCAAUAACUGCUCCAACCGAACAAUACCAAUUCUCAAAUCAAACACACACUAAACCUAAUAUAGCAUACAAAUGAGAGAGCACUAGAAAUUGAAGACCCAUCACAAAAACUAAAACCAAUAAAUAUGCCCUAAAUGCAAUAAGAGUUUCUGCAAAUCCGAUUAGAUUAAUAAGCAAUUCGGCAAAUCGCUCUCGCCCAACCCAAUCAAAAUGUCUCAUAAAUCUCUGCUUCGCAGCAAUCGGAAUAGCUCCCGAAGGGAUUCGAUCGCUCUCUACGAAACAAAAUGAAGAGAAGGGUCUAAAUUCAUUAGGUCGAAUCUGAUCCUCGAGCGGAAUAGAAAGAAUCGGAGAUCUAGAGAGAGAGAAACGAGUUGACGAGUUGCGAUUAGGGCGAAGCGCGUACCCUUCGGCGAAAGGUGGUGAAGCUACAGUGGCAAACGUCGCAGCGGGAAGCCUCUUGGAAGAGGGGUGGAGUCUCCGCCAUGAUCGGACCUUCGGAAGCUCGAUCUCGAUGAGAGAGAGAGAGAGAGAGAGAUAGAGAGAGAGAGGAAGGAGAAAGGUGGGACAGGGACGAGAGACGAAGAGGGUCGGGACGAGAGGAUUGUAAUCGGUGUAAAUUUGCACUUAUAGUCCCCUGAAUUUUACCAAAUUUCAUUUUGGUACCUCUAAACCCGCACGUGCGCUGCACGUGCAAUGAACCAUCCAUCUAUUUCUCCCUCUCCCGACGCGAACCCGAUCCAUCCCACCCCACUUCGUUCGACAUCCUCUCUCUCCCUCUCUCUCUCUCUGUCCAUAAACCCUAGAGGGAACCGCACCAUGGAUCUCCUCAAGGGCUACGCCGACGAGGACGAGGACAUGAAACCCUCGGAAGAGGAAUCAUCAGAUCCAUCAAACCCUAGCGGCCACGGGGGCGCGGCGGCGGCGGCGGCGGAGGCGCCCUCGUCGCCGGAGUCGGGCUCCUCCUCGUCCCCUCCUCGCCUCUCCCUCGGGUCCAAAUCCUCCGCCCCGUCCGUGGACGAGACGGCGCUCGCCCUCACGGCGGCGGGCUCGGCGCGCUCCGCCCACCGCCCCCUCGACCCGACGCAGCACGCCGUGGGCUUCAACCCCACCUACGACCAGCUCUGGGCCCCCGUGCUCGGCCCCGCCCACCCCUUCGCCAAGGACGGCCUCGCCCAGGGCCUCCGCAACCACAAGCUCGGCUUCGUCGAGGACGCCGCGAUCCAGCCCUUCCUCUUCGACGAGCAGUACAACACCUUCCACAAGUUCGGCUACGCCACCGACCCCUCCGGCCUCUCCGUCGUCGGCGACCUCGACACCCUCGCCGCCAACGCCGCCCUCUCCGUCUACAACCUCCCCCCGCAGGAGCAGAAGCGCCGCCGCCUCCACCUCAAAUCCAGAGAUCACGACGCCGACGCCGACGCCGGCGCCGGCGCCGGCGCCUCCUCGGCGGACGCCGAGAACCCGGCCACCGACGACUGGCUCCUGAAGAACCGCAAGAGCCCGUGGUCCGGGAAGAAGGAGGCGGUCCAGGGCGAGCUCACGGAGGAUCAGAGGAAGUACGCCGAGGCCCACGCCCAGAAGAAGGCGGAGAAGGAGGGCCGGGGCGAAGGCGGGAGAGGGGACAAGCCCGAGCUCGUCGUCAAGAGCACCUUUCACGGCAAGGAGGAGCGCGACUACCAAGGCCGCUCGUGGAUUGCGCCGCCCAAGGACGCCAAAGCCACCAACGACCACUGCUACAUCCCCAAGAGAUUGGUUCACACAUGGAGCGGCCACACGAAAGGGGUCUCCGCCAUCCGCUUCUUCCCCAAGCACGGCCACCUCCUCCUAUCUGCUAGCAUGGACUCCAAGGUUAAGAUUUGGGACGUGUUCAAUUCCGGCAAGUGCAUGCGCACUUACAUGGGCCAUUCGAAAGCAGUUCGCGACAUCUCCUUCUCCAACGACGGCUCCAAAUUCUUGAGCGCGGGCUACGACAAGAACAUCCAGUAUUGGGACACCGAAACUGGCCAGGUGAUCUCCACUUUCUCUACGGGAAAGAUCCCCUACGUUGUUAAGCUGAACCCGGACGAAGAUAAGCAGAACAUUCUUCUCGCGGGGAUGAGCGAUAAGAAGAUCGUCCAAUGGGACAUGAACUCUGGUCAGAUCACGCAGGAGUACGAUCAACAUCUAGGGGCGGUGAAUACCAUCACUUUCGUGGAUAACAACCGAAGGUUUGUUACUUCGAGCGACGAUAAGUCCCUUAGGGUUUGGGAAUUUGGGAUUCCGGUGGUUAUAAAGUACAUCAGCGAGCCCCACAUGCACUCCAUGCCGUCGAUAUCUCUACACCCGAAUUCGAAUUGGCUUGCGGCCCAGAGCUUGGACAAUCAAAUACUUAUUUAUAGCACAAAGGAGAGGUUUCAGCUGAACAAGAAGAAGAGGUUUGCUGGGCAUAUUGCGGCAGGGUACGCGUGCCAGGUGAAUUUCUCUCCGGACGGGCGGUUUGUGAUUUCGGGCGACGGAGAGGGGAAGUGCUGGUUUUGGGAUUGGAAGAGUUGUAAAGUGUUCAGGACUUUAAAGUGUCACGACGGUGUUUGCAUAGGUUGCGAAUGGCAUCCGUUGGAGCAGAGCAAGGUGGCGACUUGUGGAUGGGAUGGCAUGAUCAAAUACUGGUAAGCUUACGUAUCAUUUUCUAUUUUCUUUUGAAGAGGCAUACUAGAGCAGUUAAUUGCAUAAUCUUUUAGUGAUGAUAAUAUUUGUGCUUGCUUGUGUGAUGUUUCUUCUCACUGUGCUGCUUAGGAUCUUCUCGUUAGUUUGCUGUUGAUUUGCUUUCUUUAAGUAACUCAUAAAAUUAACUUUGCCUUACAAAAUUAAGAUCAAUGGACAAGAGCACCAACAACAAGAAGAGUAAUUAGUGUUUAGUUGCAACUGUACGGGGCUGGCUUUGUUUUAGGUAAAACUCUUCUUAAACCAAUGUCAUCAUGUUAUUCCUCACUACUUCCCCUAGAGUAAAUUCUUUUAUCUCCACUUUUCUCUUCUCGAAUUACUUAUUUGUCUUAGUCUCUUUACUAGCAUACCAGAUGCUCUCAUUUCCUUGCUCUUUUCCGUCAAUUGUUGUAGUCAGGUUUUGUCAUUGAAUAGUAGUACGUCUUGAGGCAUAGGUGUUUUGGUGCCAAAGUUCAUGUCUUAGUGUUAGAUUCUCUAUAGUAUAUGAAAAUUCAUGAUCUCGUGUUAGGUUUUCAUUUCAGAAUUUAUAGGUAAGGUUCAUUCAUCAUUUCAAAGCCUUUUUCACUGAGGUUUUAGCUCAGUGGCAGUUUAAUAGUGUUUUAAGAGCAAGAGUGGUGGCUUACUAAUAUAAAGAGCUGAUAGGGGAAAAAGGUACAUAUCUCAGCAGUUGCAGUUGAUACAGCAAACUGUUUAUAUCAAAUCACCUCGUAACGCUUUGCUAGAUCCACAAUGGUUUGACGAAUGGUAAUUUGUCGAACCAGUUAUUCUGUUCAAGGUAUAACUGGAAAAGUGUUCCCUUGAUGAUGAAUGUUGCUGCCUUGUUCUAACCUGCACUGGAAAAGUCAAUCCACUUCAUAAUAUACCUUAAGCAAGAAUCUUAAUCGCUAUAAUUGAAUAUUCUUUUGACAUCAUAUUUGCACUUUACAUUUUGGGUAUCCUUGGAAUCUCACUCUUUAUUGCUUUACUUCUCCUAUCUCAUGGUUAUGCCAUUCUUGCAGGGACUAAUUCGACGGUGAUUCCAAAAUUCACUCAGAAAGUUCUUUCAUUACUCAAGGUUGAGAAGCCUGCGAAAUAUAGAGGAUCUUGCCGUUGAUCAAAUUUUCAUGGUCGAACAUCCGUACGCGUUGAGCUAAUCCCGUUGUAUCUGCUCCUAAAAGUCAUCAAUCUAUCGGCCUGCUGAGCUAUCAUUGUUGUAACUGCUUAUUCUAUCUGGUCCUUUAUUAAGCAAGGAUAUGUAACAAUAGUUAUGUUACUGUGAAAAGCUAUGGCAUCUUUAUAAGUGCUUCACUCUGAGUAACUUUUUUUUCCCCCCUUCUGACUCCACUCCACUUUGUUGGUCUCAUUUUUGAGGUUGUUUCAGUACAGAGGUUUAGUUAACCAUGGAGAAACCUGGCUACUUGUUCACCAUUUUUGUAUCCCCACUUUUUUUUUUUUUCUAAACUUAAACAGAUUAUCCGUGAUCCAACUAAUUUGAUGUUUGAUAUAUUGGUUGGAAAAUUUACAAGGAUUUGAAAUUCUUAUGAGCAAGCUCUUGUGUGCUUGCAUAGUUUUGUUACUAGUCACUAGCAAAUGCUAUUACCUCUAGAAAAGUUAAAGUGUUCAAAUUUGACACAUUCUAUUUAGCGCAUUGGGAACUUAGGACGGACAAAAGUUCCAUGAUGUCAAGCUCAUUACCGAAAUUCUCUGGAACACAUGUAUGGUUUGCUUCAACAGGGCAAGAAGAAAAAGAAAGCCAAAAAAAGAAAAAAACUUUUUACUACUAAACCAAAGUAACAAUUGAAUGCCUUAAAUCUGAAAUAUACAAGCCGCAAAUGAUAUGGUUAAACUUAACAAUGUCUUAAAUGCAACCUGCAGACACCGAUGACGAUUACAUCCCUGACCAGUAUAACAUUUCUGCAGAACUUUUGAGAUUAUCGCAUUCGUUUCUGUCGGUUCAAUGCUUCUCUUUCUUCUUCUUCUUAUUUCCAUUCGCAAAUUGCUGCCCAAGUGUCAGAAAAGGUCUUCUUGCAUGGAUGUAACAGUUGAGAGGUGACCGCUGAGCUUUACUGCACCUCCCCAUAUCUUCCGCAUAUCUGUUAUCUGAGUGCCUGCUUAAGAAAACACCCAAGUAUUUAUCGAAAUUCUACAAUAGUUUCUCACUAGAAGCACAAGUAAAGAAGUUCACUUUCCUGAAUCUCAUUUAAACUUUCUAGUACAGCAAAAGCCCAAAACUUGAUUUAAACUCAACAAAUUGAUCGAACCAAGACAAUUGAUCCUCAAUCAUAAGUGAAUUAGAGGGAACUAACAGUUUGCAUCUAAUGAGACUGCUAGUAUUUCACAAGCAUUCAUCGGAUGAAUAAUCGCUAACUCAUCAUGAUGACCAAAGUUGAAAAAUACGCCGCGAACUAAGCAAAUGCUAUUAGAUAUAUGCCAUUCGACAGAAUUAUAUAAAUUCAAACUGUAGCAAUUCAUCAGGAUAUCCUGCAAAAUGGUUGAUCUAAGGUCAGUCGAAAGGAAACACAAAAUGCUGUAAACAUUCAGCCUAUUUACUCGAGAUGCAAACAUAAAUUUGCAGCAGAUACCAUAGAAAUAUUAAUCAACAUAAAUUACUCAAGCAAAAAUAAUUCAAAAGCAUAAAGAGUCCUCAGAUAGCAAAUUAAUAUCAUGCACAACAGCUACUUCUGGUUAUUCAUUCGGCACUUGCGAUCCUGAAUCCUCCUCAUUGGACAUUAAAAUUGCUUAUUUAGUAGCAUAUCAACAGUACAAAUAAGAAUUUACCACCUGAUACAGAGAUGGACUAGCACUAGAUCAUAUGCCUCAAUCCAACAAAGAAUCCUACAAAUGUAAACAAAUUAAUUUCAUCUUGGCACAUCGUAAUCUCUAUGCAAGAAAUGAACCAAUUACAACUGCAGUGUGAGAACAGUUGAUGAUUCGGAGAGAAAUUUCUUCGUAAUGAGAGUAACUAACAAAUUAAUCUUAAUUAAUACCAUUUGCUGUAUAUGAUUUACAUGGAUAUAUUCUAGAAUACAGUAAAAAUACUCAAAUUUGGUAAAAUAAAUCAUGCAAAAUAGCUAAAAAUUAUCAAUAAAAAAAUAAAUUAUGCAAAACUCUUGAGCCCUCAGAAACGACAUUUGAAAUCAUAGAAACAGCUACUUUUAAAAGCUGAAUUAAUCAUACGGCACUUGCAAUCUACAAGAUCUCAUCACUGGGCACUCAAAUAUACAUGAUCAAAAACAUGUAAAUAGGAUACGGAUUAAGGGGGCGAAGUAUGAUCAAAACCCUAAUUCACAAAAUUUAGAACGCGAAAAGCGAUUUAGUAGUAGAGAGACCCGGCGCCGCCUCUCAUUGCGCAGGGGCGAGAGAACUUCCAAACCCUAGGUUUUGAGUGGGUAGUAAAAUGUACUGUGAACCCCUCACCAAAGGACUAAUUUGAAAUGAACCCUUAACGUUUUAUAAACAACCACCCAACGAGUAUCAAACCAAGUUAUUUUUUGUUCAUCUAUGAAUUGUAUUUUGCUUAAAUAUUAAAUAUCAAAGUUAUAAAUUUUUAAAUGUAACUUUAGAUUGAUUCGACUCAUUUGAUUAUUGAAUACGAACGUGAUCAGUUUCAGGCUGGUCAAACCAUAUAAAAAAAAAAGUAUAUAUAAUUUGUCAUUUUUUAAAAAACAAAUUUUAUCCGCAAAAUAAAAUAAAAUUUUUUAAACAAAGAUUUUAUUUUUGACAAUUGAAAUUUUGGCUGAAUACGGUGCACAUAACUGCAGUAACAAAUUACUUUGUUGCUUUUUGUGUGUGAUAGUACGUCAUGUGAAUCGGACUGUUCUGAACCAUUCUAUUCUAUAUUAAGUCAAUUUUUUAGAUAGUAUAGUUUAGCCAGUUCCAAACUUUCUUUCUUUCAAAAAAUUUUAUUAUUUUAUGGUAUGCCUAUUAACUAAUUCACUGUCUCUUUCAUUAUAUAAGCACGUAACACAAUUUAUCUAGCAUUUAUUGUGUACGUGAGUGAGUGUGUUAAAACUAAUCAUAGAUCAUAUUUUACUAGAUCAAAUUUUCAGUAAUACCCAACAGUAUUAAACAUAUAUAAUAGUAUCAGACAUACCUCAAUAGCAGGCAAAUAAGCUGUGUUUUAACAAAUUUUUUUACCAGUAAAAUAACUUUGUAUAUAUGUUUAAAUUAUCUUUUGCUUUGCAGUAGAGAAGCUGUUCGAGAAACCCAAACAUGCUUAAAAGCAAACUGCAUGCCGUGGGGAAGUGGAAAUAGCAUCCCCAUGGGAUCGUCCAAUUCCCAUAUCCUUUCCUUUCCCUGACCAAAUUUACAUGCCCAGGUUUUUUUCUCCAAAAACUGGAGAAUCUGAUUCCUUCUUGUUUUCUCCCUUCUCAUAUUCCUUUCCCCCACCUCUCAAAUUUCAAUCCCUUUACAUAUAUAUAUACACCUAAGAGGCACGGAAAAAUUAAAAAGGAAAGCAAAAGAGAAGCAUCUUUUUAUUUGCUAUCAUUCAAACAUUCGCGGCGAAAGCGCGAUGGGAUGUCGAGCUUAUUGUAGUCUAGUUCUGCUUGGUCUCGCGGUGGGGGUUCUGCUGUCGACGGCGCAGGCGCAGGCGCAGGCGCAGGCGCAGGCGCAGGCGAUGGGGAUAAACUGGGGGACGCGGGCGACGCACCCAUUGCCGCCAGAUAUCACGGUGCGGCUGCUGCAAGACAACGGGUUCGCGAAGGUGAAGCUGUUCGAGGCCGACGACCUGGCGCUGCGCGCGCUCGGCAGGUCUGGAAUUCAAGUCAUGCUCGGCAUCCCCAACGAGUACCUCGUGCCGCUUGCCAGUAGCGUCCGCGUCGCCGAGCAGUGGGUCAUGCAGAACGUCUCCUACUACAUCUCUAAGUUCGGCGUCGACAUCAGGUCAGUAGUAAAGUGCUACACUUCAUUCAACCAAAUAAGAUAUACAUAAUUAUAUAUUAGUUAUGUAAACUUAUCUAUUUUUGACAAAAUGCAAGUUAUGUCCAAUCAAGUCAUUCAAAUUUUCUUUUAAAGCGCGGGGCCUACGUAUAGAUGAAUAUAUAAUAAUGAAUAUAUAAUAAUAAAAUUCAAACUUUUGAUGUUACAUGAUUUUUCCAUCAAAUAAUAAGAUUUUAAAAUAAUGCAUACAUAAGGGCCCAUCUUAAGUCCCUUCAAUUUGUGGCCUUAACCUAUUUUAUUAUUUUGGAUAGUCGAAUUGUUUAUUAUUUUUUUAUACUUAAAAAAGUCCCUCUUUUUUUUUUCAAAAGUUAAAACAAAAAGUUUCCAUUUCCCAGAAAGUUGUUCCAGAUCACAAAGGGGAAAGCAUGCUAACCCACUGAAAAUAUGCAUGCAUGUGCGGUGCAUUACAAACAAACUUUUUUUUUUUUUCUUUUUUUUUAAUACCGACUGUUUCUAGAGCAAGUGAUAAAAGAUUUUAUGGUUGAUAUUCGAGGUCCUAAAUUCAAAUCCUUAUUGAUUCACAUUUCUAACUAAGUUUAUCUCUUUUGACAUUACAAUACAUGACUAAUUUUGUAUGGAAAUGUCAUUUACUUAGACAUUACGGCAUGUAACAUCUUUUGUGGUAGCUCGCAACCUAAAGAUUAAUAGAAAAAUUGAGAUGUUAUAAUUUAAGAAAACAGAGGCUCAGUUUUGUCUGUGUAUGUUAUGUAAGGUACGUAGCCGUGGGCAACGAGCCGUUUCUGAAGACGUACAAGAGUCUCUACCAGCAAACAACUUUUCCGGCCCUGCAGAACAUCCAGGCCGCGCUGAUUAAAGCAGGUCUAGGGCGGCAGGUGCACGCGACCGUCCCGCUGAACGCCGACGUCUAUGAGACGUCGACCGGGGUGCCCUCGGGGGGCGACUUCCGGGCCGACAUCCGCGACCUGAUGAUCAGCAUCGUCGGAUUCCUGCAGAACAACGGCGCCCCGGUCGCCAUCAACAUCUACCCGUUCCUGAGCCUCUACGCCGACCCGCACUUCCCCAUCGACUACGCCUUCUUCGGCGGGGGCGCGGCGCCGGUGGUCGACGGGAGUGUGACCUACACCAACGUGUUUGAGGCAAACUAUGACACGUUGAUAUGGGCUCUGGAGAAGAACGGGUUCGGGUCCAUGAACGUUAUUGUGGGGGAGAUUGGGUGGCCUACGGAUGGGGACCCGAAUGCCAAUUUGGAGUAUGCUGGCAGGUUCAACCAGGGCCUCAUCGACCGGAUCACACGAGGUGAGCAUUGGUGUUUUCGGCUCUCAAAAAAUUCAAAAUCAAACGCACAAGGCGCUCUUAUCGUCCAUCUUAGGCCGCUCAAUUGAGCUUUAACGGUCAAAUAUUUUGAUUCAACUUUCGAUCAUUGCGCAAGUUUCGAUUUUUUUUUUUCUAUUUAUCAAAUACUCUGCUGGAGAUAACGAAUUUAGUGGGGCGCUGAACAUUUACUGAGUGGUUUUUUGUCACUCCAGGCAUGGGCACGCCGAAGCGGCCGACGCCGCCGGAGAUCUACAUCUUCGCGCUGAUCGACGAGGACGCAAAGAGCAUCCAGCCGGGCAACUUUGAGCGGCACUGGGGCCUCUUGUACUACGACGGCACGGUCAAGUACCCGCUUACGUUGGAAAAUGGCCAGAACUUAACCGGCGCAGUGGGCGUAAAGUACUUGGACCGGCAGUGGUGCGUCCUGGCGCCGGAGGCCAGCAUUGCAGACCCUAACAUCCCAGGAGCCGUCGACUACGCAUGCCAGUACAGCGACUGCACCAGCCUCAGCUACGGCUCGUCGUGCAGCGGGCUCGACGCGCGGAGCAACGUAUCGUACGCGUUCAACCAGUUCUACCAGACAGCGAACCAGCAGAAGGGGGCCUGCAUGUUUUCGAACCUGUCAGUGAUCACGCAGACCGAUCCGUCGCAAGGGACCUGCAGGUUUGAGAUCAUGAUCGACACGGGGAGGCACGAGCUGACUUCGAACACCGACAGGGCCGUCGCGAGGGCGUCGGCCGUGGUUGGGAUUUGGAGUGUGCUAGCAGCAGUCGGUUUGGCGGCGAUAAACCUAUAAAACAGUGCAUCUGAACAUCUCAUGCAUCUCAUCUUCGGAAAAGAUAGAAGUUUAAGAUGGAAUGGAUGUUUAUACACCAGAUGCGCACAACAGUUUCCCAAAGAAAGUAGGGUGCAUUCUAAAAAACAAACUUUUACGCACGAAAAAGAUUGAACUUAGGAUUAAAAAUUAAGAUGAGAUGAAAAGAACGCGGCAGACAAAAUCUCAGUCCAUAGCAUCUCCUUGUAGGGCAAGAGGCCCCUUGUGGAAGGGAGCAGAGAUUGUUGAGAUAUGCUCUUAUCUCAGGAAACUAUUGCCCAGGAGAUGCCUGAAAUUAAUCCACUCUGAAAUUACUUGCAAUUUAGAUUUAAGAUAAGAGUGAUUCUUUUAAACUCUUACAUUCUGAUUCAUUAAGUAAUUAUGUAUUUGAUUAGAAUAAGCCAACUAACAGUUGGCAUUUUCUUCGGUUAGAGUUUCACAACACUCUUCCAGUACAUAGUAUUACACUGUAAAACAAAUUGAUUCAUGAUAUAUUUUGUGCAUAUUGCUUACUUUAUCCAGUUCUCUGUUUAAUUUAUCUUUAUCCACCACAACUUCUCUAUGCAAUGAAUUAGUUUUAGCAACUGGUCAAAUUACUCUCAAAAAAAAAAAAAAAAAAAAAAAAAAAAACACAGCAACAACUAUAAUAGAAACUCUAGAUGAGUCACCUUGUUAUUUUGAGUGUUACUGUUACCUCUCACUGGAUCAACAAAAUUUGCUCAAAUAACAUUUAUACAAAAUAGGCUAUAGGUUAUCACCACGCCAAAGUAUGCAAAGUUGCAAGGAAAAGGAAAAAAAUAAUGGAAUUAUGAUACUUAUGAUACAGCCGUAAUCGCAAGCAUAACACCCGCAAAAUAUGUACUAAGGAAACAAUAUAUAUAUAUAUAUAUAUAUAAUCACCCGAUUAAACGAGGAGAAGCUAACCGACAAAUACACAGCUUAGAACGUAUAGUCUGGCGUAUCGGUCUCAUCCGAUCGCCAGGGAGAGCCUUGCCCAUCUCCUCCGACCAUCCGCUUACUCAUGUUGGCCCUUUGCACCAGGCGAACUAAUGCUUGCACGACUUCCGACAUGGGCGGCCUAAAUUCUGGCUCGGGCUGCCGUAAUAAAUGUCGGGGUUAUGAAGUUGAAUUUACGUUUUUUUUCAUCUCUUUUGUACGAUGGUGAAUCUAGACUGAACUCUUAUUGUGUUUCCAAACUAUGAAACUGAAAGUAUUAUAAGUUCAGAUGUGCAACAUACCUGAACACACAGAGCAAUAACAUCUGCGAACCUAGAGAGAGAUUUCGCCGGGUAUAACCCCUGAAGGGCCGGAUCAACCAUCCGGUCUAAAGCAUCGAUGUCGUGCAGCUGGGGAGUAGCCCACCGAACCAACGACUGCUCAGAUCGCGGUCUAGAGCUGCCGCAGUUUGUCAGAACAGACAGCAUUUCAGUAGAUCGAAUUUUAGGUCGAGGAAAUUACAGAUCAAAUUUGAAUUAACUUUUAUAAUCUUAAUUUUCAUGAUCUAGAAGAGUGCUGAAAUGAAGAAUCACCCGUCGAAAGGCUUCCGCCCAGUCAAGAGCUCCAGCAUGACCACUCCGAAGCUGUAAAUGUCGCUCUUGAGACUAUACUGGCCGGACAUGGAAACCUCCGGAGCAGUGUAUCCGGAGUUCUCAUCUGAUGCCUAUAGAAGUCAUUUUUCAAGUAUGUUAGAUCUACCUUUUUCAAUUUUGGUAUGGAGUAAAAAUACAUUAGGUUGCAUCUUCAUACCUGGAAUUCUGGGUUUGGAACAAGGCUCGCAAGCCCAGAAUCUGAAACGUGAGGGUUGAGCUCCAUGUCCAAUAAAAUGUUUGAUGACUUGAAAUGUUUAUGGAUGAUAGACGGCGAGCAUACUUCAUGCAGAUACCUGGAAAUAAAAUUUGUACAGACAAAAUGAUCAAGGUAUUAUUCAACGUCAAUAGGCCCACAAAUUUGACUACAAAGAGAAUAGGCAUCAUCUUGUAUAGAUUAAACGAAAACUAUAGCGAAGGGGGAAAAAGAAAGAAGAAGAGAUAACAAGUUGCCCUCGAUUAUUGGAAACACCACUAUCCUUUAGCAGUUCAUAUAAAAGAAAUAUUGCAUUGCACUAUUUCUCAGUUAUCUACUACAAAACAAAAUUACCGAGUGGCUGCUCGGCACGGAUGAAGCAAAGCUGCGGCAAAAGACAGAAGCUUCAAAUGAUAUUUGGAGCUAAGAAGCUCAUUCAACUCUCUACCACAGUAAAAUAUAUAGAUUUCUUGUUUGCCAAGAGUCUAAUUACUGCUUUGAAAAGUAGAAUAACUACUCCAAAAGCUAGGCCAAACAUGCACAGAUCUCCAAAGAAUAAUUAAAAAUAAAAUAAAAAUGAUAUUCUGUCUAUUUGACUUACUCUAGCGCCCGUGCAGAGCCCAGUGCGAUCUUGACGCGCUGAUUCCAUGACAGUGGCUUGUUGUAGUCAUCGGGGAGGCGAAGGAAAUCAUGCAGUGAGCCGUUUCCGUGGAACUCAUAGACCAGCAAGUGCUGCCCGUGUUCAUUACAGUAGCCAACCAGCUCGGAUAGAUUCAGAUGAUGCAAGCAUGAGAUGUUUGAGACCAACUCAAUGAAGUCGCCAGAUGACAAAUUGGGAAGAGCAUUAAAGUUUAUUUUCUUCACAGCCAGAACCUAUAACAAAUAGACAAAUUUAGAGUUUGCUCUGUUCAAUGUUUGUCAAUGAAUGAAGAUUGGAUAGUGAAAAGAGCCACGCUUAAUUAAAAAUAUCAUGCAUUUAAACUAUCUAACUGAAAGAUAAAAAAUUUACUUCAACUGCGAAAUAUGAAUGAUAAUUUGCUUUUUUCAGACGUAGAAAUAUUGAAACAUUAUCCCUUUUCUUACAUUCAACAAAGUCGUGCUCUUUACGCACGGAGAAUGAACCUCCUGUAAUAUGCUAUUUACGACAAAGCGACCAAGAUCAAAGUAUCGUUGGUUCGACAAAGAAAAGAAUACUAAUUUUUAAGCACUAGAUACUAACUAAACUUCUUUAGAUACUGGAACAGCAGGGAGGAGAUUAAUUCCAAGACCAAUAGAGAAGCAAACCUUUUCAUCGUCAAAUUCAGCUCUAUAAACACGCCCAAAGGACCCUUCUCCAACAAGAUUGUCCACGCUGAAGCUGUUGGUUGCCAUUUGCAAAUCAGCUAUGGAAUACACCGUUGCUUUUAUGGGAGCCAAAUCAGUUUUCUUUGCAACAGGCUUGUUUGAGGUGUCAUUUUCAUCAAAUGACUUGUGGAUUUUAGGAGGAGGUUUAAGGCUGAUCGGAGCAGCUGGAGGCAAUGCUGAAUUGUCGAGUAUGGAAACGGUCUGCGUCAAUUUCAUCUCUGCAGCAUAACAGUAACACGAAAGUGAUAAAUAACGUAUAUUGAAUCUAUACAACUAAGAAUAGCAAGCAAAAUGUUAGAAAGGUGGGAAAAUGGUGCAUUAUUAGUGCAAAUGUGAAGAAAGAAAAUCACACGACUCUUCAGAAGUGGGAGUACGAGUUUCUGCAUCGGCGUAAAAUUACCUUUUUCUCCAUUUGAAGCAAAAGGCGCAAAAGGGGCAAAAGGCUGUUUCUGCUCGGGAUUCUGUUCCCCUUUCCAACUUUUCUUCUUAACCAAGAAGAACGCAACUAUUCCACCUACGGCCAAUACGGAUAUGAUAAUUCCAGCUAUGCCCCCACCACCUAUACCAGAACUUCCACCACCACCACUUCCCCCGCCGCUUGAUGGGUUGUUACCACUAUUGGAGUUCUGACCCGGGUUUACUUUUCGACCCGGCGGAGGAGGCGUAUAUGGUGGAGGUGGAGGCGCAGGGCCAGAGCUCCAGGAAUUACCACCGGUCCUAUGAAAGAGAAUUAUACAUAUGAGAUGUAAAUAACUAAUAGUAUGCAUGAUCUUAUCAAAAUGGGUAAAUUGCACCAUGGUCCACUGGUCACUAGUUAAACUUAUCAAAGUUCCAUUUAGGUCGCUAAACUCCAAUUUGUUGCUGUUGAGUCACUGAACUUUCAAUUUCUUGAAGAUGAUGAUGAAUCAGUUGCCACGUGAUUGUUAGGGAAAUUAAAUGAAACGUCAUAAUAUGUGGCCAAUUGUGUAGUGUGUUCUAAAAUCAAAGGACUACUCACUGAAGGUUAUUAAUCUUUUGAAGCCGAUCAGGAAUCCAGCCGGUAAAGCGGUUACUUUCAACAUUCCUGCAGGCACGAGGAGACAAAUCAUUUUUACAACACAAAUAGAGUUUCUUUUCCCUUUUGUUAAAAAAUAAAUAGAAACUUACAAAUCUUCAAGGGGAAGAGCAGCAAGGACAUCUAUGGUGCCAGUAAAUUGGUUGUUCUGCACAUAACUGAUGUAGAGAUAUCGAAGGAGUCAAUAUAUUUAUACAUAAACAUAAAUCACUCUUGUGCAUAAUAUCAAUUAUAGACAGCUUAGGGUCGUCCUUACAGAGUAUUCAAACUCGUCAAGGAGCUGAAGCUUUGAGGGAGGUCACCGGUGAGAGAAUUAAAGGAGAGGUCCCUGCAGCAUGAAUUCGUAAUUUUAAAAACAUUAAACAGAAAGGCCCGAUAUGAUGCAAGAGACUGAAAAUUAGCAUUUCGGUAUGUAGACAUUAAUUCUUCAGUGAAAGAAUAUCUCAAGUAAUUCAAUCACCUAGUUUACUAACAAGGAAAUUAUAACAAGGAAAUCGCCCGAGUUUCCAUUUAAGGUAACUAACCAUCCGUAUAGAUCACGAAAAAGCACAUGCUUUUGUAGUCGAACUAAUAAAUGAGAUCGAUCAGAAGAACACUCACAUAGUGGUCAAAUUGGUAAGUUUGUAGAAUAUAUCGGUGAGAUUUCCCUGGAGUUGAUUAUGACCAAGAAUUCUACAUUCAAAACACUCAAGUUAUGUAAUAAACUAUCGAAAGAAAGGGCAAGAGAUAGCAAAAUUGACUUCAUUAAGAAGUCCACUUACAGAUAUUUGAGAGUAACCAUAUAAGAAAUUGAGUAAGGUAGAUUUCCGUUAAAUUGGUUCCCAGCAAGAUUACUGCAGAUAAAAUUCAUCAUAUAAUAUUCACUAUCAAAAAUUUAAAAAAAGAAAAAGAAAAAAGAGUUGAAACCAGAAAAAUCGGCAUAACUUACAAUCUCUCGAGAUUAGGAGGAAGAUUAUAAGGUAUCUGUUGACCACCGCCAAGAUUGUUGUUGCUUAAAUCACUGCGUCAAAAUCAAGAGAUUAAAACCAAUUCUCCAUUAAGUCCCGAAAGUUUGACCCAGAUUCCAAUCAAGUUGUCACGUUUUCACAGUUCAAUCCCGAAAAAGGCACAGGGUCAACAUCCCGAAAGUUUUACGCAGAACAAACUGCAGGGACUGAGUUAUCGAAAUUGAAACUCUGAGAACGUAACUAAAGAAAGACGAGAUCAAACAUAACGGCAUAAAAUGAAACCGAUCAUAAAGCAAAAUUACAAAACAAGAAAGAUCAAACUCACAGCUCAGUGAGCGAAGCCAUGUUAUUCAAAUUGUAGCCUAAAUUCCCGGUAAGUCCCAUUCCAGAUAAUUUACUGGUAGAGUUAUAACAGCAAACAACAAGCAGAAAAAAAAAAAAAAAACAAUCAGAUGGAAUUGAUUCAACUGCAAAUAAGUUACACCGCAAAGCUAGGCUCACAUUGAUUUAACCGAAGAACCGGCGCAGGUAACGCCGAGCCAUGCCUGUCCGCAGGGAUCGCCGCUGUUUGCGGAGGACCAACCCGUAAGCUGUGAGGGUGAAUUGAAGCUUGUGUACAAUACAUUGAGAGCAGAAACUGCAUGCAAAGAAUAAAAAUGGAGAAAAACUCAUUACCAUUGAUUGGGUAGAGUAAAUGAUUGGGCAUCACUUUUUUCCAACUAAUAAAGAAUAUCUAAUGUUUUCAACACAAUUUUGGGUCCAUGAAGAUGGAUUUGUGUCUCUUUUCUUCUUCAUCUGUCAUAGAAAACUAAAAUCAUGAAGAGAAGUUCAUUCCAAUAUUAAGUCUCGAACAGUGUACUUCCUCUUUUUCCUUAAAAAGAUAUGAGCUUUUUCAAGUCCAACAAAAUUCACUUCUACAAUCCAAACAAUUAUUUGCCAAAAAUAGAAAAUGUUCAUUGGAAUACUUGUUAUGAAUUGAAUUAAAACAUCUAAAUUACGAGCGCAACCAAGAAAAAAAAUGAUUUUUAUGCCUAAAAACAAGACAACCCACUUGCUCACCUUCAAAUAGUGAGCUUCAAAACCCCAAAAAGAUAGAAUCAUAAAAAAAAAAAAGGAAAAAAAAAGGAGAAAAGCACAAAGAUACCAAUCAAACAACAACUUUUCUUCUUUGACAGGGGAAAAAAAAGAAAAAAAGAGAGUGAGGGAUUCAACAACGUCAAUACAGAACAUUCCUCUGAAUGCCCCAUGCCCACUCCCUAACUUUCCUACUACAAUCUAGUAAGAGGAAAAUUUAAAAAAAAAAAAGAAAAAGGCCCAAAAAUUAGAAAAAGCUCACGCACCAUCAUUUUGGUCAGUGUUUCCAAAAACAAAGCUUUGAUUCAACACCAAAAUGCAUGCCAAAAUUAGAGCUUUAAUCCCACCCAUCUCUCUCUCUCUCUUUCUCUUCUUUCUCUUUCUCUCUCCUCCUCUUCACCACCCUCUCAUCUUCCCAACCAACGGCCUUCGCCUCUUUCUCUCUCCCUCUCCCUCUCUGUCUGUCUCUCCUCUAAACUGAAUAAAAAAGAAGAAAAAGCUCUGUUUUUUCCUGCUCUCUAGCUUUUAUAUUUCCCCCUACUUUUUUUUUUUGCAUUUUUUUAAGUUGGAAUCUGCAUAAAAAAGCAAGCUGGCACAAGAACCGAGAUGAAUAAUCCAAAAGCGCGGUGGUAAAUUUAAAUUUUCGACGAAUUAUUCGGAUUUUUUUUCUUGUUUUUUCUCUCUUUUUUCGUUUUCGAGGACGAUUAAAAGAGAGCUUUUUUAUUUCACUGAGAGUGAGAGGUGACGUUAAUUGAAAAGGAAAUGGGCGGUAAUGUUACCGGAGGUGACGAGAACUCGUAGGACAGUUGUGGGGCCCACGUGGAACGUUGAACUAGAUUGGGCCAUGGGAUUGUGGGCCCACGGUAUCGGUGUUUUUUUUUUUUUUUUUUUUUUUUUUUCUUUUUUUUUUUUUAUAUAGUGCUCCUAUAAAAUAAAUAAAUAAAUAACCACAUUGUACCAUAGUUACACAGUAAAAUCCAUCACUUUGUGUCUAUUUUUUCUCUUAAAUUUUUUGGGUUAGGAAGCGUUUGGUUAGGUAUAAAAUAAAUCAAAAAAAUAUUUUCGAUAUAAAAAUAUUUUUUUAUUUAUUUUGUUCGACGUAAAAAUAUUUAUCUAUAAGAUUUUUUUUUAUGAAUUUGAAAAAAAAAUAAAAUUUUCUUUUUUUGCUAUUUUCCGGUAAAAAAUUAAAACUCAAACUGUGUAAAAAAAUUCUCAUUCAUAUUUUUAUCUAACCAAACAAUGUGAUUUUUUUUCCAUUCAAUCAAAGAAAUGUUGACGUAAAAUUAUUUUUUUUUCUUACAAACAAAAUACUAGAAAAUAUAACACUUUUUUCUACUGAAAAAUUAUUUUUCACGAUUUUAUUUUGAACAUGUUAAAUAUAAAAAUAUUUAAACACUGCUCUCUACGAAAUUAAGCUUUUAGAAUAUAAUAUGUGUUUUGUAUAAUUUAAUAUGAUAUCAGAGGAAAAAGUCCUAAAUUCGAGUUACGCCAGACUUCUAUCAUUUUAAUAUUCUCUUAUUUAAUUCAAAUUCACGUCAUAAGCAUUGUAAAAAGUCUCAAAUCUAAAUAUAAGAGGGAAUAUUAAAUAUAAAAUAGUUCAAUACCGUUCUUUAUGAACUUAAUUUUUUAAAGUACAAUAAUUAUUUCAUAUUAUUUUUCAGAACCAAACGUACCCUUAAUUGCUCUAUUUUUUUCUAAACCUUAUCUCUAUAUUUCGAAUCUCCUUUUUUUCCUACUAGAUCUUUAAUUUUUAUAGUUAAAUUUUGUUUGAUUUCGAUUAAAUAAUUUUAAUAAAAUAAAUCACAUCAAUUGUAAUACAAUAUUUUUUAUUCAGAUAGACCGUAAUGAUUAUUUCGGCAUCGAUCUUUUCAAGUGUUUAACAAUAUUUUCAAUUACCGAUUAUUCCUAACGCAAGUGGCAAAAAACUUAAUGAUUGGUAUCUGAGGUCCUAAGUUCGAAUUCUAAUUGAUUCAUAUUUCUAACUAAGUUUAUUUUUAAAUAAAAUAAAUAAAGCAGAUAAUAUACUGCCUAUCUCUCUCGAAAAAAAAAAAAAAAAAAAAAAGAAAAAAAAAAGACAAUGUAUCCAGUUUAAACAUAAAAAACACCAAAUUUUUCAAAAAAAAAAACAAAAAACAAAUAUUGCAAUUAACUUUUUUCUUUCACAAACAAAAUAACACCUCAGUUUGGUUGGUAGGGUGGGUGGGUCCCCUACUUGAUGGGAGGUAAAGAAAUUUUGUUUUUUUAUGGUUUAUUUUCUUUUGCUGAUUCCGAGAGCCCAAUAAAUUCGCUGAAUCCAUUACUAUUGUCGGAUGAGAAAGAAUCCAAAUAGUUAAUUAUUUUAAAAAUAUGUGCCGAUUAUAUUUAAGGACCAUAAUUUUCAUAAAUUUCGAUCUGACUCAAUUGAUCUGAAUAUUAGACAUAUAAUUUGAUCUACCACUCAACUUAUUAGACAUAUUUUAAUCUAAUAAUAAAUAGCUAACACCAAGCAACAAUAUUUAUAGCAAACUUCGGUUAUAUCUUUUAAAAACAAAUAUAGUUAAAAGAAUCAAAUACUUAUUCUUUAAAUUUAAAAUUUAAAAUUAUUAAUUAUUAAAUUUUUAGUUAAUUACGUUUCCGUACAGUACACGAUGUUAUUAUUAUUAUUAUGGGUACUGGUCGGUAAGGGGAAUAAAACUUUUUUAGAAAAAAAAAAAUACGUGCACGGUGGGAGCGACCGCACGGACGUAUCAAAACAUUCCGUCGAGUGUGAGAUCAACCGUUCAUUUUUUAUGCGGACACCUGUGUGGACAGAUGGACGGAGGGAUGUUUUUUGCUUUUUUAUUGUUCCUGUGCCGGACUUUACGGCCUAAUUUAGCUUUUUUUAAAAAGGGGUUAGCAGAGCCCCAAUCAAGCUACAAAAAUGAUUAGAGUGGUGGGUCAUCACAAUAAUUUGCUUUUCCUCUCUCUCUCUCUCUCUCUCUCUCUCUCUCUCUCUAUAACAAUUUACAAUUUUAGUUCUAGGGUUCCAAAUCUAUGCAAAUCGAUCACUAGAGCUCCAAUAGUAUACGAAUCGAUCAAAAUCAUGAGUUUACCGACUGUCCCUACUGUUUCAAUGAUACACAAAUCGACCGGACUCGUAAGUUUAUCGGCGAUUCCAAGAGUAAGAGGCACAACAAUUAAUGAUUGGUAUUGUAAGUUCGAAUUCUAAUUAUUUCAUAUUUUUAACUAAAUUUAUUUCUAAAAAAAUAAAUGAAGCCAGUAAAAUACUAUCUUUCUUUUUUAAAAAAAAAAGUUUAUGAGAUUGGCUAAGAACUUGAGAGUCGGUACCGAAUAUUCUAAAUUUAGCUGGAAAUGUAAAUCAAUUAGGAUUCGAACUUGAAAUUUUGGAUACUAAUCACUAAACCCUUUGUCACUUAUGUUAGUGACGAUCGGUUCGAAAUCUAGUUAUUUGUUUUGUAUUUUUAGGUCAAUUUAUUUUAAAAAAUAAACAAAACAGAUAAUGGUGUGUAAUAUUUCUCGCAUGAAAAAAAAGUCAUGAACUAAUGAGCUCAAGCCCUAUUUUUUUUGCCUACUCAAGAGUGAUCCAAUUCUCUCAACCUUAGAGCUCUCCUUAAUUUUGCAAUGCACAAGCAAAGAAUCUAGGCCUUGACAUUAAGGAUAGCUUCCUAAACAACAUUUGUUUGUAUAGCAUACAUGUUUUUUUUUUAUUUUUGCUAUUCUGCCAAUAACAAUAUUACUCGUUAUCGUUACAGUAUUAUAAAGAUUAAUUAUCGUAUUUUAUGAAUAAAAAUUUAUUAUCACCCUAUAUUUAACUCUCUCUUUUUCUUUCCUAUUGCUAUCCCAAUAAUUGGCAUAAAAUUACGAUUUAGUUAUCAUAAAAUUUUUAUCAAAUAAUUUAUUAGUGCGUCUUUUGCUGAGGUGGAUUCGCAAUAGGGGACUUUGAGGGAAAAAUUCUCUGUUGCAAUUCUUUUCACAUAAAAUAUAUAGUAAUACCCACACUCGGCCAUAUAUAUAUUUUCAUAUUAUUAAGCAAAAAGAAAAAAAACUAAUUUUCUGAAGAAAUUAUUAUCUUAUCUUAAGACAAAAUUAGUGCAUUAAUUAAAAUGUGCUCGGCCCCACAUGUCGGACUCAGUGGCGCGAGGUGCUUUCCUCUCCGUUCUACGAAAGAGUUAAGACGUGGCGGGCAUUCUCGCCGUCGGGUGGGCCCCGCAUUGCCGCGUGCCACGUCAUGAGACAGCUGGCGACGGAGGCUGUGCCACUUGGCACGAGUUACCAUCAGUCCGUACGGCCCGUCGGUAGGGAUGCAAUUGGAUGCGGGUUGGUGGAUUCCGUUUCGAUCCGUUUGCAAAUGUACCGGUAAGUAAGAAUAAGAAAUAUAAAAAUAUAUAAUUUAUUCUGAAUUCAUUUCCAUCAACAAAGUAAAAAGAGUGAGAGAUGGAUGAUUUUUUUUUUUUUUGAAAUUCAUUCUAAUUCAUUAAAAAUUUGUCAAAAUUUUGUUUUAGUUUCGAUCCGCUUCGAAUAGGACAGUAAGUAAAAGCUAAAAAUAAAAUAAAAAAUAAUCCGCUCUGAAUCCGUGCUGUCCCAACAAAAAAUAAAGGGAAAGAGGAGAAAAUUCUGACUUCGAAUCAGUUCUGUUUGUUUUCUUACUCGUCGGCAAGCCAAAAAAAAAUAUAUAUAUGUAUAAAUUAGGCAAAUCUCAACUAAUCAUAUUUUUUUAAAAAAAAGUUUUAUUUUAUUUCUAAAAAUUAGUUUAAUUAUAUUUUUUUUACUAAAAAAAAUUAUUUAGUUGAGAAAAUAUAAGUGAAGUGAUGCGUCUAGGUAAUCGAAGACUUCUUCGCCUGCGACGUGACCCCCAUCGUAUAACCAAACAAUUACCUACACCCUGUAUAUCCGUACUAGCUAUGCACCACAAUAAAUUUUUUUAUGAUCCGUACAAUAAAAAAAUCCAACCGAAGCUAUGUAUACUAUCUCAAGUACUUAUUAUUAUAUAUAUUAUAUAUGUAAAGUUUUAAAAUUUAAAAAAUUAUUACUAGAAUAUUAACUAAGUAUAAUAACGAUAUUAUAAAAAAAGAUCUAUUAUAUAUAAGCUUUUUGAAUAUCAUAAGCAAUAUUAAGGUAAAUAUCAUAUAUUUCAAAAUGUAUAUACACCGAAUGCAAACAAAUUAAUAAAUUACUUCUGAUCCGUAUAUCUAAGACUUUAAAAAGAACAGCCUACUACCUAAUAUAUGGACUAGUCAAUCACCUCCAUCCGAUAUACACACUUUGGCAUGUACAGAGCGAAAAAUUCUACACUAUCACACUUACAUCACGUCAUUAAUAACAAGCCAAUCAUAUUUCUUCUUUUCAAAUAAAAAUACAAUAAAAAUACCUUUUAUAAUUAUGAUAGAAAAUAUAUUCCUUAAAGGAGAUUUUUGAUUGAUUUAUUACGCCACAUCUCCAAUACAUCCAUUACAUUUUAAAAUUUUUCGUACUGAGCGCAUUGUUAAAAUUUGAACGGAGAUGAAGCAACCGGUCCGUAGACGAUGUGGUGAACCGUGUCCAGGCAAUCUCCUCUGAAACGGGGGUGGUGAUCAAUAAUGACCUUACCCGAGCACUCAAUCACUCGGGAGGAGUUAGGUAAAUUUUAGCUUCUUUUUUUUUUUUCUACUUUUGUUUCCUUUUCUUUUUGGAAGGAGAGGUGUUGGUUCCAUUACUAACUUAUUUUUAAGAAGUUUCAAACAAUUUUUCACAACUUACAGAUUUUAUUUCUAGACUAUUUCUCUCCAACCAUUUUUUUUUGUAAGUUCUGUAGUAUUGCAACUGAUCCUAACUUAUAGCAAGUUCGAUUUUCUUCAUUUGAUAUAAUAGUAAUUUUUUGUAUCCUACUUUUCUUAGUCAAACAUAUGAAAUAACAUAUAUGUUAGCUCUACCUAAAUUAAUCUUUUUAGGCAAUAGAGAGAGAGAGCUAGAAGGAAAAUUAAUCUAAAUAUACUAUUUAUUUAUUGAAAAAGGGGUUAAAAAAAACAGUGAGAGGUCCCAAAGCAUUCAAAGGAUUUCCCUUUUUAAAUUUGCAAUGCAACCCUACUAUUUGUUGAUUAGAUAUAAUAAUAAACAUGUAACACCUACGCUCUCUUUUUUCACAUUAUUGGAGUGCAUGAUGUGUGCUUUUGCUUCAUUAGUUUACGUCAAAACGACAUUGCUCGCGCAUUUAUUAACAAAACCCGACCUUCCGUCGCCAGCACGUCACAAGAUCCCAGAUGUGUAACAUGUGUUACACAAAUAUAAAGUAGAAAAUUAUAAUAAGUAAAAUAAAAGGCCUUGAGAAUAACACUUACUAUUAUACAAACAAUCAAAAUGGUACAAAUAGGUUACCGCACCUCCAAAAACUUAUAACAGAGAUUUAAAAAUCAAAAUCUGACUCUUGGAUAUACUUAAUGAUAUUUAAAAAAGCCUACUUAUGAUAAAAACAAAAAUAUUGAAUGACAAUACCUUGUAAAUUAAACAUCAAUCAUUUCUUUACGAUUAGUUUUUGGGAUAACUUGAUGCAGUGAUGGAUUUACAAAACUUAAAUUUUUUUAAUAUACAGGCUCUGUAGACAUGACAUAUUACAUCAAUUUGAUUAGAUUAUAAUUUUAAAAUAAUUAUCGUCUGAAAAUUAGAAGCAGUGUAUGAGGCGUAUGGAUAAACUGCAUACAUGUAACAAUUUCUGGAAACAAGAUUCUGAACAGUAAAUAAUUUCUCGUGAAAAAUAGUUGAAAACUACGUGACAUAAUGAAUGAGAUUAGGAGAAAAAUUAAUGGGUUUGAGGACACCCUCUCUAUAGUUUCACAUCUCAAUCAACUGAUCCAUCUCUGUGGACUCAGCACUAUGAUUAGAUUAAUGAAUGUGGGGUGCCAACAAGCAAGCGUGUACCUUCGUUAGAAGUUACAGCAACAAUUUGAAACCACCAGAACGAUUGGAUACAUGACGUAUAACCAACUUGACUAACUAGUUUAAGUUAGGUAUCUAACUAAUUGUUCACGUAUUCCUAACAAUGGCUAAUCAAUGAGUUUAAUCUACAAAUAGUGCAAAUAAAAAAAAAAUGAAAACAACAAUAACAUAUAUAACAAACAGGUAGGAAUGUUGUAUUAUUAUGAACAUAAACAAGAAUAAAAUGAAACGUAAGAGUGAUACCAAAUUUUGGUGGGUAAGAGAUUUCCUAAUAGAAAUAUAAGGUGGGUACUUCACAUUAUUUCAAUUUGUUGACGAACCUCGCACAAAAAGUUUGUUCAUUCAACGAAUCAGAUGUAUAGCCCUAAUCAGAGUGGACGUCGUUACCUAAAAGAUAGAUUUUAUAUGCAAUAAACAGGGAAUACUCUAAACUACCCAGGCCACUGACAUGUUGGAGAUCAACCCUAAGAAGGGAACUCUGAGAAUUUACAACUAAUUCUAAUACCAACUUAGAAAAUUGAUCUUAUAAAAAAUGAUCCAAAAUAUUUUUACCAGAUAUAUAGAACGAGGCCAAAAGAGAAACAUUCUACUCUUCAGCUGCAUAGACUAAAUGCCGUCGGCAAAAUUAAAAAAAAUAAUAAUAAAACCAUAAGCUUAAGAGUACAAAACGAUAAUGAUACAGGCAAUAAGAUCAUUUAUGGCAAAUUUUCUUGUUCCCCAGCCUACUGGUGGCUGAGAAGGUUGGUUUCACAACUACUUUUAAGAGAAUCUGCUCCCUUUUAUUGUAUAAUAAAAUAAAAUGUGACAAGCCACUAAGAAAAGGACACUGUUUCUACUGUUUGCUGUUCGUCCACAUAAAAGCAUCCUUUUUCACCAUUAUUCUGCUGGUGCGCCAAAUUACCUCUUAACAACUAUCAAAGAUAGAGUUAGGUAAACAAUCAAGCAAGGGGCUCUAGAAACUACUCCUUGAAUUUGAAGUAAUUGACUCAAACAUUCUGAACCCUUUUGAUCUAACAAAACUCGUUCCGUUUCUUUGGAAAGUUGCUCAAAUAAUUGACAACUAAAAGCUGCUUGAGAAUCAAUACUGUCACGAUUUGACUUGUUAGUAUUAAUUACUCAUUGAACCUAAACCACGGACGCCCACUAGCACUAAUAAUUUGUUGAACCCUAAACCACCGACCCAAAAUACUUAACUCAGUAAUUAUUAUUAGAGUAAGCCCAACUAUUAUUACUAGAACUCUGAUCCCUUAUAUUGUCAAUCAUAAUCCACUUUCCAUCACUAUUCCAUCUAACACUUCCGGAUGGCAAAUUUUGCUCUAAUACCAACUAUACUGAUCCGACCCGCUAGCACUAAUAACUUAGACCCUAAAUGAUCGGACACACAAUGUUUAAGCCUAGUUAUUGUUACUAGAAUCUUUGAUCCCUUAUACUCUUAUAUUUUUCAAUUAUAUUUUUUUUUCAUACGAUGCAAGAUUAUUGGGGCGUUACGAGUACAACCUUUGCAAUAAAAAGUUUUACGACCUACUACAAAGAAACUUCAUAAUACCAGCCUAUCAAAUAGAUUUGAAAAUGUCACAAGUGAAGCUCCAAUGUAGAACUAUGGUCAUGUAGAUAUGUCCAUAACAACAUAGCAGUAUUAUGAAGUCAAAAGAUGGGCAGAAAGAAUACUCACAUGUGUUAGUCAUUGGUAUUUGGUAGUAUAUACAAGCCGACCUUAGUUGAACAGAAACCUCAGAAAUGGUUCUCACACCUACUCAGGUAGGUUCAAUCCACUUCCCCAGCCUGAAAAUAGUAAUAAUGAAAUCAAACUUUAGGGAUAAGGAAUAAACCAUAAAUAAAUCCAAGCAACCUAUUCAUAAACAGAAGUCAUGCUUUCUGUAGGGAUCUGGCACCAACUGGAUAGGGAGAUCAAAUUAAAUUAACAAAACAAUGAGUGAAUUAGUGUAUUUGUCACCUGCUUCGCCAGAGCUACUAUGGCUAACAGCAGAAGCCUCGGAAGGUGGGCCAUCUGUUUCUUGAUUGUUUGUUGGAUCAGCAUGCAGGGUGGGCAUGGCACUCAAGGUAAUGGGUCUCAUUGCCAGGUUCGGAGGGAGAACCGGCUGUUGGUGAUGCUGCUGCUGCUGGAGCAGCAGCAGCUGCUGCAGCCGCAACUGCUGCUGUUCUUGUAUUUGUCGUAGAUUAAACUGGAAAGGAUCCACAGGAGGAAAAAUAGGUGCCUGUUGCAUGUAGUGCUGUACCUGAGGCAUUACCUCAUGUGGCAUCAUCUGUUAAUAAAAAGGAUAUGAUUACAUGAGCUGAUAUAGAAAAUAAGUUUAAUUAUUCGCCGUGAGAUCGUUCAUAUAGUAACCUGAGUAGUAACAGAAGGGGUUUGUGGUUGGGCAUCGGCGAUCUUAACCAAAAACAUCAGAUUCUUUUGAAGCUGGUCUUCGUACCUGACAUUAGUAAAGCCAUAAUAUUAUCACAUGCAGACAUUUACUUGCGUGUGCACGCGCGUGUGCAUCGCACUUGUGUGUUUUGGCCGGAAUGUAAGAAAUUAUGCAAUGAAUUUCAUGAUUUCUCUGUACCCUGAAUUUUGAGAACCUAUGUUUCACCCCAUCGACCGGCGAGCAAAUUGAUGAACUGUCUUAGUUUAAGGGGUAAUACAUGUUUUAAUACUACACGGGACAAAGUAGAAAACCACAAUAUUUGUAGGAUGUUUCCAGCAAUGUAGAGCUUUUUACUUUGAAGUCAUAAUUAUUAGUGCAUACAUUCAUUUAGGUCAUCAGAUCAAGAUGCACUCAUCUAAACCUCUACAAGAUGGUGAUUGGAGAUUCCAAACGAGUAUCACAUAAAUUGGCGGAAGUUCACAAAGCAUCAACAUUCUUAGUUGACAUAACAAAUCACUCCAAACUUUUCUUUGAGUAGACAGACUAAUGCAAUAUAUAUGAAAUUAAGAUCCACCAGACAACAACGAAAAUAGAAGUCCCUCGUUUAAUCAAAAGCAAGUGGUCUCAUCAGAAAUGAAAAUACAUCUGAAUAGAUGUGCGCACUGAAAAACACUUUCGCUAAUCACAUGUCCAAUUCUAAUCAUACAGAAAAGCUGGUAGAAACUCAAUGUUGAAAUCAAUUCUUCCUCAUAAUCCUUGCAUCACGAAUGACAAGUAUCAUUAAGCAGUCAAUUCACACACUACAUAAUUCAUAAUUGAUGAUCCAAUUGAGCACCAUUCUCUACCAUAUGAUAAAUAUAAGAUGCAACAGAGCAAAAGAAUAACCCCCAAAUAAAAAAGAACCGAAUUCUAGUAUAAUAGCUACUCACUGAGCAGAUUCAGACAACUUUCCCUGGUUCCGACAGUCCAAUAUCGCCCAAAUCAGCUGUUUGUUUUCCUCCAAAUACUGCAUGAUAAGAGGAAAGCAAUCACCACAAUUUUCUUUUUCCUUUUUUUUCCCUUGGCUAGAGUAAAGAAGCAAAAUAUGGAAACAAAUGCUACGAAUAAUCGACCCUGAUUAACUACAAGAGAAAGUACAUAUUCAAAGACAUUUUGUAGAUAAAAGAUCCUUGAAUUUCGCCAGAUACGAAAUUGUAGCUUAGCAUAAUAGGAACUAGAAUUCACACUAACUAAUCAAAUUUAAUAGUCUACGAAGGGUAAUUCAACCCCCAAUCUACAAAGGGUAAUUCAACCCCCAACCUAAUUCACGUGAAUUCAUUGAUUUGGAAAUCCAUUCCAAUUCUAUUUCAAUUUGGUACGAAACAGAGUGUAGUAACCUUAUAAUGCGUCCUAUACAUUCUAAUGCUUUCAUAUUAAAAUUAACACGCGCUUCAUAAUCAUAUAAUUUAUACAUUGUUUCUACUAAUCGGUAGUCAUAAACCCUAAUUAUUUCAAAAGAACACACAAUUGAGGUCGUAAAUCAUUACUAAAAGAUUACACACAGAUGAUGGUGAUGCUCAUGCUGGUCACAUCAAAACUAUAUCCGUGCCGACAACAAUUAAAUCCAUGUAAAACCGAGCUAAAACCUCUACAAUCCACUUCAGUGUAAACUAAAGCUACAAAACAAACAAAUUUGAUUAUAAAAAAAAAAAAAACACAAACCAAUCGAUCGAUUGCGCGAUUAUAUACCGAUUAGGUUUCGGGAAAAGUGAGUGCGAUUCACUGUGGAAAGAUCGAAUUCGAGAGGAACCCUAGGCGGGAAUUAAGGAGAUGAGGACGAGUUUGCAUUUUGAAUCACCUUUUGAAUCUGAUCGGUGGUGAUGUUCAUCGUCGGACGCUGCAUCUCUCUCUCUCUCUCUCUCUCUCUAUUUCUCUCUCUUUGUUGGAGUGAAAAAGUAGCAGGGCAAAAAUUAAGAACAAAAGGGAGGGAAACGGCGCGUUCAGAGGGCACAGAUUUUCGCCGUGGACCUGGUCUACCACGUCAACUAUCUACUUCAUCAGUGGCAUUUUUUUUUUUUUUGUCAAAGGAAAAAUAAUGAUAUUUUCCACUUUAUCUUUCUAUGCGAUCUAAUAACUAUAUAGUAUUUAUAUUUUUAAAUUUUCGUUUGAGGUGAGAGUCGAAUCCGGACCGCACUCGUAGUCCAUUUUAAGUGAGUAUCGAAUUCAUAGCAUCUACGCAGGUGUGGAGUAUACCUAUCAACUAUCCAUCACAUUUUCACUUUCUAGUGUUUUUUCUUUUUUGAGAGAUAGGUAGCACGCUACUCUUUUCGUUUAUUUCACUUAGAAAUAAACUUAGCUGAAAAUGUAAAUCAACUAGGAUUCGAACUUGGGUCUCGGGUACCAACCACCAAGCCCUUUGCCACUUGCUCUAGGGACGGUCUAUCAUUUUCUAGUGUUACACUAUCUAACUUAAUACAUUUAUAAUAUUUUUUACAAAAUAAUUUCAAUAAAAUUAUAAGAUUAUUAUAUAAUAAAAUUAAAAGUAUAUUAAAAUUCGGGUGGCUAUACAUAUUUUUUCCCUACGAGGCCCAAGUCCAACAAGAUAUAGAAAAAAUAAAAGCCCAAAUCGAUAACGAACACAUGGGGAGAGCUAUGGGAAAUGGAAAUGUUGGCUCGGCCUAAUAAUAUUGGCCCAUUUGUGUGGUAAGAACUGUGAUCUCAUUGGCUGGCUCGACCUGGUUCACUGGACCGAGCCAAUCAGAAUGUAACACGCAGUAGUAACGUACUCAUGCGAUGAUUUUUAUUAAUAUUUUCACUUUUUAAAAUUUUAUAUUUGGAAAAUUAAUUGCAAGCACCAUUGGAUUAUAUCCGUUAUUUUAUUUGAAAAUUUCAAAGUAUUAAUUGGAAUGAAUGAUGUGCAUUUUGGAAAAGGUAUAAGAAGUAAACACCAAAGCAUUUUGAUUGUGAAAAUAAAGAAAACCUUGCAACUAAAUAGAAUAUUUAAACAAUAAGGUGACGAAUGCUGAAAAUAGGUUGCAAAAUUACUGGAUAAAAUUUACACUGCACGGCCGCGUAGCCUAUUCGGGAAACUAUUUUAACCUAAAUUACCGAACCGAAUUGGCUCAUUUCAUUUGGAUUCAUUACGGUUCUAUAAACAAUUUGGUUCAGAUCGAAUUGCCUUUGAAAUUAAGAAGUUUUAAAAAAUUGUACAAACUGAAUUAACCAAAAUUUUUUUAAUAGUUUAUUAUAUAUCAGUCCUAAUAUUUUGAAAAAAAAAAAAUAUUAAUCACUUCAACACAAUCAAAUACUUAGAGACUUUAACUCUUAUUAUGUUCAAUUUAAAGAUUUUGGUAGAAAAUUAAUCCUACCUAUAAACCUAUAUCUUACUUUUAGUAAUUUAAUAAAUUUUAAUAUAGAUCGAUUAUAUUUAUAAUAAAAAAAAAUACUGUGAAAAUUAAAUCGACCGAACCGAACAGAACCCGGUGACCGCGUGCGCUGCGCGGCUACUGCCACGGCCUAACUAAUUCUCGACCCUAUUUAAACAAGAGAUUCACACAAACGACCCACCACGACCACUUAUAACUUAUAACCACCUCAAAACCCUCCCCUCCCCUCCUUUCCUCAGAAUAAGGAGAAGCAGUAAAAAAAAUUAAUUAAUUAAUUAAUUAUUUCCUAUUCUUUUCAUAUCUCUCUACAUUUUAUUCGGUUACAUUAUCAUUCCCACGCUCUCGAGGUAGAGGUAGAGAGGGAAGAGCACACACGCACGCGCCGCGCCCUCCCUCCGCCUCGACCGCCACGAUGUCGUCCGCCAUCGACGACGGCAUCGAGGUCAACCGGAAGCCGGGGAGGAAGAACCUCGUGAUCGCCGGCUCCUCGGCCGCAGUUCUCAUGCUCCUCGUCGUCGGCACCGUCGCCACCGUUCUGAACCAGUCCGCCGAAGAGUCCGGCGGCGUCUCCGCCCGGUCGAUGCACUCGACGUCCAAGUCCGUCCAGAUGAUCUGCGCCUCCACCGACUACCGCCAGACGUGCGAGUCCAGUCUGUCGAAGGCCGUCAACUCCAGCAGCGACAACGACCCGAAGGCGAUCCUCCACGCGGCCGUCUCCGUCGUCGUCGACGAGGUCGGGAAGGCCUUCGCCCACUCCCGCCUUCUCGACAGCAACAACAGCCGCGUCAAGUCGGCCGUCCAGGACUGCCUGACGCUCUUCGACGACUGCAAGUACGACCUGAAGCGGUCGCUGGAGAGCAUCAUCGCGCACGCCGCCACCGACCACCUGUCGAAGCGGUCGCACGACCUCGAGACGUGGCUCAGCGCCGUGAUCUCGUUCGAGGAGGCGUGCGUCGACGGGUUCCCGGAGGGGGAGCUGAAGGCGAAGAUGAAGGCGGCGAUGAAGAAGGCCAGGGAGCUGUCAAGCAACGCGGUCGCCAUCAUCGGGCAGGUGUCGAGCUUCCUGUCCAUGCUCGACAUCCCCGGGCUGAGCGGCCGCCGCCGCCGCCUUUUGACGGCGCAGAAGGAGCCCGCGCUUGCAGCGGCCGCAGCAGGUCUUAAGGAGGACGGGCUCCCGCAAUGGAUGUCGAGCACCGAACGGAGGGUUCUCAAAUCGCACCAUAAGCUCAAGGUCAAGCCGAAUGCCACGGUCGCGAAAGACGGCACCGGCGACUUCGCCACCAUUUCCGCGGCUUUGGACGCGAUGCCGAGCGAAUACAAAGGAAGGUCGGUACAUGCAUGCAAUAUUGUUAAUUAAGCUAGCUGAUUAAUUUAUAUAUGCACGAUUACAUGUUUGGGAUUAAUACAUGUAACAGGUACGUGAUCUACGUGAAAGAGGGGAUAUACGAGGAGACCGUCAAUGUGACGAAGAAGAUGGCUAAUGUGACCAUGUAUGGGGAUGGCUCGAAAAAGUCGAUCAUAACGGGAAGCAAGAACUUCGUGGACGGCACCAGAACCUGGCAAACCGCAACAUUCUGUGAGCGCAUAUAAUUGACUAAAACUGAAUUUUGUUCACUUUUCGCUUGAUUUAGUAUCUGAUCCUCGGUGCUUUAUGCACGCCGCAUGCAGCCGUCUCCGGCGACGGCUUCAUCGCGAUCCGGCUCGGGUUCCGCAACACGGCGGGCGCGGUCAAGCACCAGGCGGUGGCGCUACGCGUGAAGGCGGACCGCAGCAUCUUCCUCAACUGCCGGAUGGAGGGCUACCAGGACACGCUCUACGCGCAGGCCUACCGGCAGUUCUAUCGGGGCUGCGUCAUCUCGGGCACGGUCGACUUCAUCUUCGGUGACGCCUCGGCUGUGUUCCAGAACUGCAUCAUCGUCGUCCGCCGCCCCCUCGACAACCAGCAGAACAUCGUGACCGCCCACGGCCGCGUCGACCGGCAGCAGAAGACGGGCUUCGUCAUCCAGCGCUGCCGCAUACUCCCCGAGCAGGGCCUGACGGAGGCGGCGGCACACAAGGCCAACGUGCGCAGCUACCUCGGCCGGCCGUGGAAGGAGUUUGCGAGGACGGUCGUGAUGGAGUCGCACAUCGGCGGCUUCAUCCACCCGGACGGCUACAUGCCGUGGGAGGGCGAAUUCGCGCUGUCGACGUUGUAUUACGCCGAGUACAAUAACUUCGGCGGCGGAUCGAACGUGUCGACGCGCGUCCCGUGGCCGGGGUUCCACGUCAUAAGCCGGAGAGAGGCCGAGCGCUUCACCGUCGGCAACUUCCUCUAUGGCGCCGAUUGGAUUCCGGCCACCGGCGCGCCGUUUCGCCUCGGCAUGUACACGCGCGAAUGAGAGCACUUCAAUUUUUUUGUCUAGAGAGUAAAUUGACAAGGGAGGAAUAAAAGGGCGGGAGUUCUCGUUUAUAAAAUGGAUAUAUAUAUAUAUUUAUAUAUGUGCGUGUGUGUGUGUGUGUUAAAGGAGGGCGUAAUAGAUUUUUGUUUUGAUAGCAAUUAAGAAAAAAUGAAAAGAAAAAAAGAUUGUUUUCCUUUUCUUUUGCCUUAAAAUUCCUGAUUUAAUUUAUCAUACUCAAUGUUAAUUACACUCCUGAAAAGCUUUUAAAUCUCUUAGACCAUGAUUAUCAGUGACAAUUCUUAAAUCUCCUAGACCAAGCAAGCAGCUGAGUUUCAAUAGGGUUAUAAAACCUUGUCUCUUGUAUUUACUAAUAGAGGUCAAAUCAUUUAUUAUUUAUUAAUAAAGCUUCAUAAUUUGAUUUUACACAUUAUAAGAGUAAUUAAUGCUGUUAGUAUGGUAAAGUUAUAUUCAAACAUGUCAUCAGUUAGCUAUCAAAUUCGAAUACCUGAACCACUAAUUAUUAUCGGCUGGUAGGCUAGUAUUCUGUAUAUGUGACGGAAAUCGUAUUAGAUCAAAUCACAAUCAAGAUUCGAGUGCUUUGUACAUACCUAUGUGCUUUAAAUGAAUUGGUUGGUUCCUUCCUAAUAGCUCGGGCUUUUGAAACUAAUUUUCAAGAAUAACUCAACAAGUGGUAUCAAAGCGGGCCAUGGGUUUAAUUGUCAGGUGACGCAACUUGUGCAGGGUACUGAAAGGAUUGUUGGCAAGUAGACGAGCAGCCUAUUGAGAUCCGUCAGCACUGUAUCUAAAGACUUUAAAUGAAUUGGUUUCAUACUUUCUAAUAGCUUGUGUUUUUGAAAUUAUGGUUAAUUAGCCCCAAUAAUCGAACACUAAUAUUAUGUCAUAUUGUGAAAAACUAAACUCAUCUUAAUCAAUGAUUUUUGGGCACGUGCUCACGUAACCAUAGCUUUACUCCAUAUAAUAAAUUACUGAUUAAUAAGAGUUAAACUUUUUGUUUGUUUCAUGCCUCAUUAACACCCUACUUGUGCUCAUCAUGUUAACCAACCUCCUUGGUUCUUUUAAUGCAAAUAGUACUUGCACUAGCUUUUCUUGUUAUUAGAAACAUAGUACACACACUCCUCACACUCAAUUUGUUAAAAGUAUGAAAAAUCUUCUCCAAGAUAUCUCGAAGCUUCGAAUCUUCUUUUUUUUGCAUGAAACCAUUGAUUGCUUCAUCAACUUCCACACAUAGUUAACCUAUAAAACAAAUUAACUAUUAAGUUUAAGAAAAAAAAUUAUUCCAAAUAAAGAGUUUAAAGCAAAUGAAAUUUAAAAUGUUCUUUAAUUCAUCAAAUCCGAGCUCAUGAACAAAGGUUACUGGCUCACGAAAAACCAGUCAAAAGGAGGCUAUGUUAUUUGCGUGAUCUAGGUAAUUAUAUCAACACAUGGAAAGUUAUAUGAGUUGUUAAAAUGAUAAGUAAUUUUUGACUGUGAACAGUAGUUUCAUGUGUGAAUUAACAUUUAAUUAUGAAUCUAUACAGGUUUUAGCAUCACCAACAAGCUAAAUCAUGAGUUUUAAGCUUCAAAGGGUCAUCUUGUCGACUUGUUUUGUCGCUUACCUUAAUGAGACAAAUGGCGCCAUAAGACUAGCUAAGUGUGCGUUUGUCCUAAAUGUUGAAAUAGUUUUUCUAUACGCCACUCUCGUGUUUGGCAAACAAAAUUUCAGUAUUACUGGUACGAAGAUUCAUUUCAACAUUCCCACAAAACUGAUUUGUUUGCUACAAUUAGUAAAUUUUUAUUUAAAAGAGAGAAACUAUAUUUUUAUUGAACAACUCGAAUCAUAGAGGAAGUUUUUUUUUUUAGAGAGAGAUAGGUAGCAUGCUACUCGCUUCGUUUAUUUAUUUUAAAAUUAAACUUAGCUGGAAAUGUGAAUCAAUUAGGAUUCAAACUUGGAAUCUCGAAUACCAACAACCAAAUCCUUUGCCACUUUCACCGGGAGCAGUUGUUAUCAUACAAGAAGUAAUUAAUU
RNAcentral lists this long non-coding RNA (76526 nucleotides) under Ananas comosus (pineapple). RNAcentral describes it as "long non-coding RNA (ACOM_LNC000114)". Lineage: Eukaryota; Viridiplantae; Streptophyta; Magnoliopsida; Poales; Bromeliaceae. The record is from RNAcentral.